GAAGCAUGUUGAAUACUUUGAUGGCUUUUGACCAUGGCCUUCCUUAAUGAUUUGCUUUUUUACUUUUUCAUGAAGAAUUUCCAUAUCAGAUUCAACUUUCGGAGGUCCAGCAGCAUCUUGAGGUGGUUCCCCAUGCACAAAUGCAGUAUUUUCAGUAACUAUUUCAUUCUCAUCAACAAUUUCCAUAUCAGAUUCAACUUUCGGAGGUCCAGCAGCAUCUUGAGGUGGUUUCCCAUGCACAAAUGCAGUAUUUUCAGUACCUAUUUCAUUCUUAUCAUCUUCACCUGAGAUGAACAUACUUAUAAACUUCGUUACCCGGACUCGGCAAUUUGGGGUGCAGUACCUGUGCCGACACGGGAUACGGGUCAGAUCCGGAAAAGAACCAGCGGAAUCGACGGUGAGAGAGAACUGAGAUGAGAGGAGAGGAGAGGAAAGAAAAACUGAUCCGCAGAGAGGAGAGACAGAAGAGGGACGACGGUUGGGCGAAGAUGAUAGAAGAAAGGGAAAAGACUACUCAAAUAAAUGAGACUUUUUAACAAAAAUAAUAUUAAAAAAUUCAUUGGUUAAAUUCUACCUUUAGUCACUAAACUAUGAAUGAUUUUUUAUUCUGGUUACUAAACUAUUAUGUCUUUUUCUGUUCACAUUACUUAUGCCAAUCAAAAGCUCUCUUUCACUCUCUUAUCUAGUUCAAUUUUUUUCAUGAAAUAACAUUGGACGUUACGAAUUUACGAGUCAAAAUUCAAAUAGCUCUUUUUUAGCUUGCUGGCUAAACUUUUUAAAAAAAAAAUUUAACAGCCUAGUGACUUAAAUAAAAACUUUUAAAUAGUUCAGUAAGUUAAAUGAAAACUUUUGAAUGGUUUAAUAAUCCAAUUGCAACUUUCUUUUUGUUAAGUGACAAAAAAAAUAAUUUCCCAUAAUUUAGUGACUAGUGUAGUUACUUUUUUUUAUUGAUAUGCCAAUAACUUUUUUAGCAAAUGAUAUGUGAUAUAGAUUCGUGUUAAAAAAAAUUAUUAUUUUCCAAAUGUUCAAAUAAGUACAGAUGGACACAAUUUGGCCAGGUCACAUAAUUUUGAGGCCCAAAUAGUCACCAUUUAUAUCAAUUUGGAUUUUUAGAAGAUAAACUUUUUUAUUGAUAUCGUGUCAAAUUGCCAAAAUUGACAUAGUUGAUAGAUAUUUUGUCCAAAUUACUAUUAAGUGUCUCGAUUUGGACAUAGGCUCUAUAUAAACUUAUAAUUUUUAUUAUAAUUUAAGCUUAUAUAUUUUAUAUAUUAUAAUAUUAACGAAUUUAAAUUAUAAGCUUAAAUCACAAGAAUUGACUCAAUAUAAAUUGUUUUUUUUUCAUGCCUUAGUAUUGUUACUAUAAUGCCAAAUUAUUAUUUUGGUAUUAAUAAAUAUUCAACCUAGAGUAUAGUAAAAACAUGAUAAAAUAAUUUGUGUUAACCUAUUGUGAAUAUUAUGUUAUAUGAAUACUUUAUAAAUAAUAAUAUAAAUUGCUUUUAAAUUUUAAUUUGAAUAUAAAAAUGGAGUAAAUUUAUAAGCUAAAUUUUUUAGUGUUACUUAAAAAAGGUGGUUUCACUUAUGGUAAACAAACUUCCAGCUUAUGCACUAUUGUUUUAUUGGGAUGAGCUGAAUUCAAAUAAUAAUAGUACAUUUGGAAUGUAAAUUCAACACUUAACCAGACAAAGCCUUUCACAUUUUAACUCCAAUUUUACUACCUAGCCCUUCAAAUUCGACCAAGUUUUAUUUUUUAAAUUUCAAAUUUGGACUGUAAUAUUCAAUCACAUUGGGUAAAUUUGUACAACUAUAAGCACAGAUAUUAAUGUGUUCAAUAUAAACCUGUUAAAUUUUAGUUAUUGAAGUGUUUCAUGAGUAGAUUCGGCCUUAAGAUUUUAUUUGUGUUGAGGCCCCAACGCACAUGGAAAAAUGUGCUGAAUUCAACAGUAAUAAAAUGGAUCUUACAUGAAUCUUUCUUGUGGUAAAUAAUGUUGGGUUUGUAGUUCCAAUAGGGUCGGAAGCGUGUAAAUUAUUGUACUAAAAAAUCACACAAAGUUCAAUUCCCAGGGAAGAGAGGUGGAUCACAAGGAUCUCUUAAAUACCAAGUCUUUCCUUAGUCAGAAUAUUCCUUCUAACGUAAUUUAAUAGCACAAUUAAAUACUACUAUUAUACCCUCAAAUAUUGAAAGAAAAAUAGGACAAAAAGAACACAAGAGUUUUAACGAGGUUCGGUAAAUUAUACAUAUGUCCUCGGGCUACUAAAACCAGAUGAUAACUUUACUAUCUCCAAAAUAUUACAAACAAAUAGAAUUCCUUAAGAAUUCUCAAAUGGGAGAAGAGAGAAAACUAAGAGAGAAAGAUUGGUUGGGAUGAAUUGAAAUGAGAAAUGAGAAAGCCUAUUUAUAGUUGAGGUUCAAAGACCAAACAAUAAAUAGCCCAUUAUCUCAAGGACCAAAAAAAAAUUAUCCAUUGCCACUUUUCCAAAGUUGGUGGUUGUCAUUAUUGAUUGUCUCCCAUUAAUGUUAAUGGCAACCAUUAUUAAUUGUCUUCCAUUAAUGUUAACAAUCUCCACCUUGAAGAUUUGAUUAGGAUAAUCACAUCUUCACACACUUCCUUCAACUCCCCAAAUUCGAUAAAGCUAUCUUUUGUAGUGCCUACAAAUGCGCUCUCGAGCGCCAUACACCUGAAGGUGCUCAAAUUCUCAGGAUGUUAAUCAAGUUCAAACAAUGAUUAAACUUGAUUGUUGUUACCACCUUAGUCAUCAUAUCUGCGGGAUUAUCUGCUGUCGGAAUCUUCUGAAGUAGAAUUUUUCCUUUUUCAAAGACUUCCCGCACAAAGUGAUAUCUUACGUCGAUAUGCUUGGUUCUUGAAUGAUAGACUUGAUUUUUCGCUAAAUGAAUAGCGCUCUGACUGACACAAUAUAAACUUAUGUGACUUUGAACAACUCCAAGUCUUUCAACAAUCUAUUAAGCCAAAUAGCCUCCUUAACAGCUUCUGUAAUUGCCAUAUAUUCUGCCUCUGUAGUAGACACAGCUACUGUAGACUGUAAGGUAGACUUCCAACUCACUGGGGCUUUCGCAAGAGUAAACAGAUACCCCGUAGUUGAACAACGUUUAUCUAAAUCACCAGCAAAGUCGGAAUCAACAUAUCCAACUACAAACUGACCAAGUGCUUCAUCCUGUUCAAAAAUUAAACCAACAUCUACGGUUUUUCGAAGAUACCGUAGAAUCCAUUUCACAGCUUGCCAAUGUCCUUUUCCAAGAUCAUGCAUAUACCUGCUCACAACUCCAACAGCUUGUGAAAUGUCAUGCCGCGUACAUACCAUCGCAUACAUCAAACUCCCAACUGCAUUAGCAUAUGGGACUUUUGCCAUAUAUUCUCUUUCUUCUUUAGUCUUCGGGGAUAAUUGAGCACUAAGUUUCAAAUGAGAAGCAAGUGGGGUACUUACAUGUUUUGUAUUUUCAUUUACACAAAAACAUUGUAAUACCUUUUUCAAAUAUUGCUUCUGAUUCAAACAAAGCUUGCCUCUCUAUCUAUCUCUACUUAUCUCCAUACCGAGAAUCUUCUUGGCCUCACCUAGAUCUUUCAUCUCGAACUCUUGAUUCAACUGAGCCUUCAACUUAUCUAUCUCUUUUUGGCUCUUCGAAGCGAUUAACAUAUCAUCAACAUACAAGAGUAGAUAAAUGAAAGAUCCGUCAUGCAGCUUCUGCAAAUAUACACAAUUGUCAUAUUUGCUUCUUAUGUACUUCUGCCUUCUCAUAAAGCUAUCAAAUCGCUUGUACCACUGCCUCGGGGAUUGCUUCAAUCCAUAUAGCGAUUUGUUCAGCUUACAAACCCAAUUUCUACCACUAGCAUCUGUUUAAGAAAAACUCCAAGCACUUCAUCUUUAGUUUUCAUGGUAUACACCCAAACUCUUCUAGAAAAGUCAUCAACAAAAGUAACAAAGCAGUGUUUUCCUCCCAACGAAGGUGUUUUGGAAGGCCCCCACACAUCUGAGUGAAUGUAUUCCAAAAUACCUUUUGUAUUAUGGAUAGCAGUGCCGAAGUUCACUCUCUUUUGCUUUCCCAGAACACAAUGCUCGCAAAAUUUUAAUUUGUAAGCCUUUGCACCUUUCAACAAUCCUUGCUUUGCCAGAAUUUGCAAGGAUUUUUCGCUGGCAUGUCCCAACUUCAUAUGCCACAACUGUAUUGAGUCCAAUUUUUUGUUGCCGGAAGCUGCAGCGACUGCUCCAAUAACUGUACUACCUUGGUAGUAAUAGAAGUUAUUUUUCCUGAUGCCCUUCAAUAUCACAAGUGCGCCAGAUGUCACUUUCAAAACCUCAUCUCUCAUAGUAACAACUGAACCAUUGGAUUCCAGGGCUCCCAAUGAGAUGAGAUUUUUCUUCAAACUGGGCACGUACCGAACAUCAGUCAGAACUCUGGUUGAUCCAUCUUGAUUCUUUAAUUGGAUUGAACCUAUCCCAACAGUUUUACAGGCAUUGUCAUUGCCCAUAUAAACAACUCCUCCAUUUAGUUCUACUAAAUUAGAGAACCACUCCCGGUUAGGGGACAUAUGAUAGGUACAACCCGAAUCCAAUAUCCACUCAUCUGAAUGGAACGACGAUGAUGAUGCAACCAGUGAUAGUUCAGAGUCACUAGUAUCAUGCUUAGCAACACAAGCAUCUACAACAGCUUUUCCCUUAUUCUUCAGCUUUGGACAAUUUUUCUUCCAGUGGCCUUUCUCAUGACAAAAGGCACAUUCAUCUUUCCCGAGUCUGGACUUUGACUUUGAUCUCCCCUUUUGAGUUUUCUUCCGAGUGUAUGAACGAUCUCGGACUACUAAAGCUUCUGUAUCUCUGAUUGAGUUUUUCUGUUUAUCCUUCUUUCUCUGUUCAUAACUGUAUAAGGCCGCACAGACUUCGCUCAGAGAUAUAUCACUCCUGCCAUGAAGUAGAGUAGUUUCUAGAAACUCAAACUCCUCAGGAAGUGACCCCAACAGCAUCAAAGCCAAAUCUUCAUCUUUGAAUGUCUCAUCCAUAUUCAGCAAAUUAGUGACUAACUGAUUAAAUUUGGUGAUGUGAUCAUUCAUUGUGGUACUUGGGACGUAUGUGAAGCGAAACAGUCUUUUCUUCAAGUGGAGCUUAUUUUGACUGUUUUUCUUCAAAAAAUUUUCUUCAAGUGCCACCUACAACUUAUUUGCAGAAGUCUCCUUUGAAAAAGCAUACCUCUACUCUCGAGAAAGGCAUGAUCGAAUUGUGCCACAUGCCAACCGAUUGAUCGCCUUCUAAUCUUUCUCCUGUACAUCAUCUGGUUUCUCUUCAUCAAUGGCAAUGUCUAGACACUGCUGAAAAAGGGCAUCUAGAACCUCACUUUGCCACAUACCAAAAUGGCCCGUGCCAUCAAAGAUCUCCACGGCCAAUCUUGCAUUUGCAAUUGUCGGUCUUGUCCACAUGGCGAUGUUGAAGCUCCUACACCGACCAUUUUCUCCAUAAUCUUUCAAUAUACCUAAGGAAAUCUUUUCUGAUGUGGAAGAUUAGUUUAAACUGCAACCACAGAGCAUACUACGAUUAACCUUCGACUCUUGAUACCACUUGUAGUUCCAAUAGGGUCGGAAGCGUGUAAAUUAUUGUACUAAAAAAUCACACAAAGUUCAAUUCCCAGGGAAGAGAGGUGGAUCACAAGGAUCUCUUAAAUACCAAGUCUUUCCUUAGUCAGAAUAUUCCUUCUAACGUAAUUUAAUAGCACAAUUAAAUACUACUAUUAUACCCUCAAAUAUUGAAAGAAAAAUAGGACAAAAAGAACACAAGAGUUUUAACGAGGUUCGGUAAAUUAUACCUAUGUCCUCGGGCUACUAAAACCAGAUGAUAACUUUACUAUCUCCAAAAUAUUACAAACAAAUAGAAUUCCUUAAGAAUUCUCAAAUGGGAGAAGAGAGAAAACUAAGAGAGAAAGAUUAGUUGGGAUUAAUUGAAAUGAGAAAUGAGAAGGCCUAUUUAUAGUUGAGGUUCAAGGACUAAACAAUAAAUAGCCCAUUAUCUCAAUGACAAAAAAAAAAUUAUCCCUUCCCACUUUUUCAAAGUUGGUGGUUGUCAUUAUUGAUUGAUGUUAAUGGCAACCAUUAUUAAUUGUCUUCCAUUAAUGUUAACAGGGUUGGCAGCGUGCGGGAAAGAAAAAUGGAGGCUAAAAUCAGCAAGAUGAUGGUGCAUAUUUGGCAGACCACAACCAGCGGUUUUUUGAAAUUGUAGAGCCGAAAGCUUUUUCCAUCUUUAUUUAUUAUAAAAAGAAACUGGAUUAUAGUUCAAUGGUUUUAUGAUCACAAAUGCACAUGCAGCUGAUCUCUACAAUUGCAGAAAUCAUUUUAACUCUUUAAUGCAAUUAUUAACACAAUCAAUGUCCAUAUAAUUUGUACUACUGCUGCUGCUAUUAGUACUACAGCAGUAACUUUCAUCCCACAUUAGCACUACAAGAUCACAAAUAUCAUCCAUAUCAUAAAGUUGAAUGCAAUACUCAAAAUUUAUCGUAGUUAAGCUGUAAAACAAACACUUAUGGACAGUAAAGAAGAGAUAAUCAUACUACAAAUUUACUAUGAGAAAAUUUUUACAGCUUAGAACAUACCUAUAAUGUCACCGCAGCAUCAGUUCCAAAGUUAUGUUUCUACCACUAGAGAAGUUCAAGAUGGACCACCUGAAAAGCUAACUACUACUCGAUCAUCUGUGAAUUAUUACCGGUAUGUUCGUGUGAUACGGAUCUGAUGGGAAAAAAAGAAUGUUAGAACUUCAAAUUCAACAUUCUUGCAUAUAUUAUAUAAUCAUCUUAUAAAUCUCAUAGUAAAGGCAACAUUUUGUAAAUGUCGCUUUGGUAGACACAAAUUCUUAUGAAGUUGUGAGUUCUAGUAGUUUGAAGCCAACAUUACAGCUUAAACUUCAAAAAUGCUGGUAAAUAAUUGGCUUCCAAAAGUAUAUCGGGAAACACAUAAUAUUUAUUUAAAUCGCAAGACCAAAAAACUGACAUGUAAAUGUUGCGAUCUAUUUUUAGGGAGUGUUAGACACCAGAGAAUAAUUGGAUAAAAGUGUAACUAUUAAAGUAGUAAUUAAACUCUCUUUUAAUCAUAAAGAAUUCUAAUUCUCUAGACAUGUUUAGCUGACAAAAUGUAAUUAUCUCAAUUUGGUAGCAUAAAUUGUAAUUACACUACAUAAUUUUAAAUUCUAGAAAGAAGAAUAUAAAUUAUUAAAAUUAUCAAUAAUAUUUAAAGAAAAAAAAUCCCUAAACAAGUAACAAAUAGAACCAAAUCAUUGUAUGCAGUAUAUUGGUCCAAUAAAGUAUCCAACAAUACAAUUACUAACAAAAUUAACAAAAAAUUUCUAUAGAAUUUUUAUUUAAUUAUUUUAGCAUUCCAUAUUUGUUGAGUUAUUCCCUCUCUAACAGUAAACAUAAAUUCCUUAUUAUCAUCGGUUGGUCUUUAGCCAAGUAUAAAUAAUUAAUAUAUGUAAAUUAGUUAAAUAUUUAGUAGAACAAAAUGCAUGAAAAAUUAUCUUUUGUCAAUAAAAUUUUUAGAUUAUUUAAACAAGGCUAUUAAAAUAACAUUAAUUAUAUUUUAAAAAUAAAAUAUGUCCUAAAAUUAAAAUAAAAUUAUUAUAUAUAAAAAAAACUUAAACUCAAGUUAUGUACCGAAUGUGUUUGAAAACCAUUUGGUAACUACAUUUGAGUGUAAUUAGUUGUAAUCGCCCGAGUAAGUACCUCAAUUCUCACUCCCCCACUAAGACACUCAAUUCAAUGGAUCCCAAUAAUCACAAGAGUUACCUCAACAUGUCAUACAUGUGUAAUUACAAACAAUUAUACUCGAAUCAAGUUACAUAGUGACCUUCUAAACACACCCUUAGUAUUUAUUCAUAUUUGAAGCUGUUGACAUCAAUUAGUUGAUUCAGGUUUAAACUGCUAGGUUCACUGUCAAUAGAGGUAAAAAGCCAGCCCAAUAUCUGUGAAGGUAAAUUUGUGCUUUUAAUUGUUUAAUAUUGUCCUAACCCUGGGCUAAUAGGUCAUUAGUCUGACAACCAAUGUAAUCCAGAUUCAUGACUACACUUCCAGAAAUUUACAUCUUUUACACCUCAUCUUAAAUCUCAUUUAAUGUAAAAUAGAUGCUAGGAUUACAAUCUUGUAUACCAUUGUUAUAUUUUCCAACUUUAGGCAAACAAGUCUGCUUAAGACUAAAACUUGCAGCUGCUUUUAAUUUACUCCACCACUAGCUUUAAUGAAAAGUUGCUUUCAAGCUACUUUCAUUGUUCCAGUUCAUACACAAUUUGGCAUAUGAAAAGCUCUUAUCAAAUUACACAUAUGCCAAGAAAAUUAUAUUCCUUAAAAAUGAUCAAAUUAUAUCUAUUGUGGAUUUGUCAAUAAGAUAAACUUUGACACUCCAUCUCAUCACAACACAUUACAAAAGCACACUUUCACCACAGUUUUCCAUCAUGAUGUUCGGACAAAUUUUCCAUCCUUAAAUUUCCCACCACAAUUUUCAACUUAACUGAGGUGCCAAACUAAGCCAAAUUAAUAUUGAAAUAGUCAUGAUACUAUGACCUCAUUGAAAUACAACAAUAACAGUUGGUCCAAAAACCUAUAACUUUUAACCCUAGUAUUUGACAAAGUGAUACCAAUUUGGAUUUUAGACUUUAUAAUAUAACUUUUCUCCAACAUAUCUUCUGACAGCAAUAAACAAAUCUGAUAUGUCAAUAGACCUAAUGGACAAGAGGAUGAAUAAGCACAACAAUUCGAGCAGGUCACGUGUAUUUUCCAUAUGAUCCCUUCCUCAAGACUGUUCAUACAUCAUUAUUAGGUUGUACCAAUUUCUUUCCCUACUUAGACUGUACCAGGGACAAGACAAUAUACGUAAUACAUAUAAAUUUCCGACUUCACUUCAACUUCAGUUAUCAUAAACAUCAUUCCAUUAAUAAUUUAUUAUUAAAAAAUGCCAAACUUCUACUAAGUUAAAAUGAGAUAUAUUGAUAGAAGAUCCAAAUGACACAUUUAUUUGGCAAGAAAUAGUACAACAUCUAGGCAUGCAUAUAAUAAAGUGGCAACAAUACCUGUGCAAAUCCAUAGAUAGCUCGCAAAAUUCUAGCAUAAUCAGUUCCUAGCAUCUGAAUGACAACGUCAGCCAGAAAUGUUCCCCAAAACCUAUAUUACAAGAAAUACAAUCAAACUUGAAGAAGAACAAGCUAUAUUGGUAAUAGCAACACAGGUGGAACUUUUUUACAAGUUCGAUGAAUAAGAUGACAAUAGCUUAUGAUAAUUUGCUACAAAUUGAUUAGACGUCAAUUAUUAUAUCUUGACACUGGAGUCAUUAAUUAUUAUUUUUAAAGAGAUAUUAGCUUAUUUUUUAUUAGAUCUUUAAUUAAAGUAUCUUUAUAGUAUUAGCUUCUUUUAAUUUCUUUAGCUUAAGCCUUUUAUUCAAACAAGUAGACCUAUGUAACCUCUAUUUAAGAGGCAGAUCGACAGCAAUAAAAUUAAGUCAAAGUAAUUCACUUUUAAGAGGUUUAAGACUCUCUAAUGAGUCUAAGAUAAGAGACCAUUUGAAUAGUUUCACACUUUUACCACAGGACAUUUGCGUCGAAGAAACAGAACAAGGGAGAAAGCCCCACUAAGUUAAACAAUUUUCCUACGAAUCAUUUGGAGACUUGCUCCGUAACUCAAGAUAGAGCAAUUUGACACAAAACUGGAAGAAGAAUCUAGGAAGGCUGAAAGCAGUGACAAGUUGGGCAAUAAGCUAUUGCAGCAAUUGUCAUUGCAGAUACAAUAAUUGAUGGCUUCCAACUAGAACCGUGAAAAAGAAAAAGAGUAACAGAGGAAACAACAGUGUCAACUAAACAGGUAGUCAACCGAAUAGGCAAGAGAAUAAGAUAAAGAGUCAAAAGGCGGGUCGAGAAUAGUGCCAUGAUAUACAAAAUUAAACUUUCCAACCUUUUAUGGUAUGGAAGAUUCAUUGAUUUAGCUACACAGGUGUUAGAGACUUUUCUCAAAUCAGAACAACUGAGGUAGAUAAAGAGGGAUUGGUUUUCACAUGACAGAAGAAACACAGUUGUGGUCUUACCAAAUGGAAAAGGAGGAACCCAAUCUCUUAUGGGCUUGUUGGGUCACCUGAGCACCUUCAGUGCAUCGGGAAAACAAUUUACAACAAACCCGCAUCAUGGAUCCAUGUGCAAGAUAACAUAUCCGAUAUAAAGAAGGUUCAAAAUAUACCUUCAAAAGAUCUGAGUAGACAGACUCGGGUUUACCAAAAAGCGUUUAGUGCAAAGGUCAAACCGAAAAGCCACAACUUUUUCAUUCCGACAUCUACUAUAUCCACUCAACGAACAUGAACAGAACACUCUCUUAAAUCUUUCAGAGAGUCAUCUAGAAAAACCCUUGUGUGCUAAGCAGAGUAUUUCGGGGUGAAAAGGUAAAAGAUGGGAUAAUUGAUUUAUCCUUUUAUCAAAACUCCCUUUUGAGUAACCAUAGUCCAUAAAUCACUUUGAGGAUAUUAAGGAAAAUCAAAUCAAACGUGAUAUCCUCUUAACGUGAUAUCAGUUUAAUUUAUUUCCAAAAAUAAUCUCUUAAUCAAAAUCUAAUAAAUACUCUAUUUAAUAAUUUCCAGAAAGCAGAUUAAUUCCAUUUUAAAAGCUUUAAGACUCUCUCUAAUGAGUUUAAGGUAAGGGACUCCCUUUAAAAGAGUUCCACACAUUCACCAUAAGGCAUUCGCGUGAAAGAAACAAAACAAUGGGAAAAGUCACGCUAAGUUAAACAAUUUUCCUAGGAAUCGUAUGGUGGCUCAGUCCGUAACUAGGGACCAUAAACAAAAAGGUGUGCUAGAGUAUCAAUCAUGAGUCAGUAAGCUAUAAAGAAGUUGGUUUGUUGAAGACUAGUAUCAUAGUUUUAUUGAUAGGAAAAAAAGGAGGCGACAAUCAUAUCUCUCUAUGAUGCACAUUAAGCUUUAAACUUAUGAAUAUUGAGAAGAUGGGUUUGCAUCAAACAAAAUUCUCUAGCAAGCCAAGAACAACAAAAUUUAAUAUGCAAGGAAAAAGUAAAUGAUAAAAAUUUAAACAGAAAAGAGUCAAUACAGUGGGCCAAACAAAUUCAUCAUACUCCUCAAGCCCACAUAUCUGGAUGCAGCACCCACAAAGCCCUGUCCAUGAUUAGAGGGCAGACAAACAAGAAGAUGUCAAACUAUAAUACCAGGUGCGCAACACCUAUCAUAUAGUUUACAAUGCAUAAAACAAACAACUCACACAUAUUAGCUUUGCAACUAUUCAUAAAUAAUGAUGAAGUAAUGCUCUCUCCAUAAAAAAUAUUUUAACAAAAAUUACCACAUUUAACCCAAAGAAAAUCAAUAUAUACCACGUAGACUUAACUUUAAGACUAAUACUAUGGUAGAGGUUAUCACUUAAUAUUUUAGUAUAUAGUAGAGCAUAGGUUGUAACUUGAUAUAUUGCCAAUCAUGCCAAUGGCUUAGUGGCAAACUUGUGUGGGUUUCAAGUUGAUUGGCAUGAGUAUAGGUUUUGAUCAUUGUGUUUGUAAACCUUUCCCCCUUUCCCCAUUGUAAUGUAAUUGUUCACUUGUAUCAAAUAAAAACUUGAUAUAUUAAUAUCCAAGCACAUGCAUAGCCAAACAGGGGAGAAAGCAAAAUGCAUAAACUAAGAAAGUAGCACGUACAUUUGCACCCAUAAAAUCGAAUUUAUUCAUUAGUAAUUUUAGAUUAUUUUCCAUAUGACAGUAUAUAUUAAAAAGAAGGAACUUUAUAUUCUAUCAUGAUGAUGAUAAAAUUACCUGCUUAGCCGCAAGCAAGGCCGCUCUUGACUCUACACUGGUAGCAACUACCUGCCCCCCCUAGAAGCCAUGAAAGCAAGAAAGUAAGUUGAGAGUUUCAAAGCUAAAUUAUGCUAUACAUUCUAUCAUCUCAGUUACAUCGAUAUAAAGAGGGUUGUAGAUUGAUACAUGAUAACUAAAAAAAUAACAAAAUAAUAGGAAAACACUUUUAAAUCUUUCAGGAACAUUACAUAAUUUUCAUUAAUCAAACAAUAAAGAUAUACAUUUACAUCAUAAUCAAGAAAGUAGAACACAUUUAGAACAAAUAGAUAAGUAGCAGAAAAAUGAUUUGCUCUUCUUACAUUCAAGAAUGCAGGAAAGAAUAAAAGCAUUAUCACCUACCCUUGAUAAAUAAACUAUUCUAGGAAGAACACAGGGAGAGACAAGUACAUGCUGAAAUAUUACCUUCUGCCCUCCAUGCAAGGAGAAGAAACACAGAAGAUGAUUGCCUUGCAUAUAGCAGUAGCAUGAAAAAAAGGGGAGGUUGGAGGGUAAUGUUCACCCAAAAAUGACCAGACAAGGUUAAAAUUCAAAUCUAAAAACCAAAGUAACUCAAAUUUAUUACAACCUAUUUAGUUGACACCUCUAGUUGUUACGAAGGUUGGGUACAUUUUUAAACAAAAAAUAUGUGGAAUUCUAGUAUUGAGUAAAAUACAAAUCCUCAUAAUUCAUCCAUAGAUCAAUUCCUUCAACAACUAGAAAGUUAUGAAUUCAAUUGGCACCUUUUUAAGAGCUUCCUUUUUCAUCAAAUAGUUGGCAGCUUCUAGGAACACCUUUCCAGACAAUUUCUUCGUCAACUACCACAAACAACAAAUAAAGCUCAAUAAAAUAACGAACAAUGCAAGAUAAAACAUAAACUACUAUAAAGUCAAUAUCUUACCAAUUGAUAAAGUUUUGCCAAAGUAACUAUACCACCACCCUAAACAAAGAGAAGGAAUGAACUACGUAUCAAUUUAUAUUAAGAAUCAAAAUAAUCAUUAACAAAUUAAGCUGGACUAAAAAAAAGUAUGAAUACCUUCAAAACCAUUGAUUGGAAUUCUGUUGCCCCAACCUUACCAGCAGCAAGGACCUGCACCUUCCACUGGCUAAGUCCCAACUCUAGACUAUUUUGGAUGUUGGAAAUAUUAUUAUUUUCCCAUAAGCCUGGAAAAGUUCCUGAUUCUUCACUAAACAAGGCAGCACAAAAUAAAAGUUACCAUUGUGCAUGUAUAGAACUGAGUUUUUUCGUCUAUCUCUACCUUAAGCAAAUUGAUUUCAAUAAUACAUUAGAAAUUAAAAAAGAAACAAGCUAAAAUAGUUGUCUAGUUUGUUCAGAAUUUAGAUAAAAAAGGAUUUCAAAACUUAGUUAUUUACCAGUUUAAUUGAAUCUCUUUAUAAACAGUUUUGGUCAUCAUAUUGCAGUAAUAGUGGAGGUGUAAAGUGAGAAACACUUUCCAAACCUAAACAGACCCAUAAACUUAUCCUCAAUUUUGGCUGGCAAUGAAUUCACUUACUGUGGUCCUUGAUCUCACGAUUUUGUACUCACCAAGAACUUUAUGAGGAUAAAUUUUGCUAAACAUUGAGAUUGAAUGAGGUUACCUAGAGUAAUUCCUCAAUAGAUGAAGGAAAAUCUCUGCUUCCAGAUCUUCAGUGGACAAUUUGCUUGAGCAAGGAAUGUUCAACUUCUUCCUCACAGAAAGCAGGACAUUUCUGUAUGACGGCCUCCAACCCCUAAUCAGAAGAUCAAACGGGAUCGGUGAGAUGCCUAUCAAAACAGAAACUCAGCUGACACCAAAAGAAAUAAAAAUUGUCACUCUCUACCAUCAGCAACUAUCAUAUGCUUGAUUUGGUUUCAGCGAAGUGUCUUAGAUAACUAGCAAUGCAAACAGGCAUCCAACAAGACCAAAUUUAUGAAAGCAAUCGAAGGCACUGACCUCAAUGUCGAUCGGGCAUCAGCAGCAAGGAAUAAGAAGCGUGAUUCAAGGCCUGCUAUAAAAGCAUCUCGCUCCUCAACAUUCUCUUCAAUCAUCAUAUCCUCCACAUCAUCUUUAUUCAGUAUAGACUUUAAUAAGGGACUAAAGUAGCUGAAAUUCGUAACAAAAUUACAAAAAAUUUCAAAUAAGAAAUUGUUUUAAAUAAAAACCUGAAUUUCAGAGCAAUCAAAACCAAGCGAAAUCGGAAACCUGGGACCAAAUAGGAUUCUUUGAAGCUCAUAUAACUCUUCAUCUGUAGCUAGUUCAAGCACAACUCGAAGCUCCGGAUCGUAUUCAUUUGCAACUGAAACCCAAAAUUCUAAACAAAAUUUAAAGCAGAUCCUUUUAGGGGGGAAAAAAACAAAGGUAUCAAAAAAAGGACCUUGACCAUGUCUUGACACCGCGGCAUUACUACAACCCAGCAGCCGUACCGCAUUCGCGCGCCUAGGCCAAGCCAUAUUCUUAAAUGUUCAAACAAAGUAAAAUUAUGAGAAAAAGAAAUCGAAAAAGAUAAUAAAUUAGUGAAAGUUGGAAGUGUCUUACUGAGAAAGAGGAAGAGAAUGAGAGGCUAGUGGUAGUGGCGGCGAGGGGAAUAAAGGAAGAUAGGUAAAGAGCCAUUUUCAAGAAUUCUAGUUGUAUUACUAUCAAACAGUGAAUCUCAUUUCCACUGCUAAAGAAGCAAAUGUUGAUAUUGAUUUGCAGUUUGUUUUUUUUUUUUUUUAAUUGAUUUUCGAACCACGAAACUGGAAGUAUUAUGGGAAGAAAUUCAACUGAUUCCGGUUGUCGUUUUUAUAUUAGUAAAAUACUCGCCUCAAAUUUUAGGUCAGCUGAUUAUCAAUUUUUUUAAUUAAGUAAAAUCUUUAUUUUCCUAAUUUUAUUAAUUUUAAAUUCAAUUUAUAAUUUGAGAAUAUUAAUUUUUUUCAGCGAGUUGAGCCGAAAAUUGAGCAAAACUUCAUAUCUGCCGAAUGCAAUGUUUUUCACCUUUUACAGAAUUAAAUUAUAGAUUUUUUUUAGAUUAAAACAUUUUUUAUUAUUUUCAAAAAUAUAAUUUAUUAAAUAUUAUUUUUAUUAUUUAAAAAAAUCAAAUACUUUUUAAAUUUUAGAGAUUCUAUGUUAAUUUAUAAUUUAAUCAAGCUAAAUCAAAAUUUUCUAGUUGAGAGAACCUUGAGUUAGAAUUUUACAAGGAGAAAACUUCUCCCCUUUAUGCUAUCUCCCUCUCUAGUAAGAAUGGUUACCCUAGUUUUUCUCUUUUUGUUACUCUCUUCCGUGAGUAGGAUAGUAAUGGGUGGGAUAGGUAGAACUUUAGCCCUCUACAAUCUCAAUCUAAAAUUUAAAGUCAUUUUUAAAAGUACUUUUGUGUCAAGAAGCAUUUUAAGCAAAAACUAAAAUUUUUUUGCUUUACUUUCGGUAAAAAAAAACACGUCCUAAAAAAUAUUUUUAAAAAAUUUAAAAAUAUAUUAUUUAACAAUAUUUUUAUCUCAAUAGUAUUUUUUAAAAGUAAUGCUAAACUGACUCAUAGUCAUAUAUCUUGUUCUCAAUCUUUUAAAAAGAAAUAUCCUUAAAAUUAAAUAAAAAAAUUCAACCUCAUUUUAACCCAAAUCUUUUAGCAAAUUCAAUACUUCUACAAUUCCACCAAUUCUAGUCAUUUGAUAUUUACAAGAAAAAUAAGUUAAAAAAAUAAAAAAAGAAAUGAAAAAACUGUCAAAAUCAAUCAUAACUUAUGAACAUGGAAGAGAUCAAAGUAUCCAACAUCUAAGAAUUUAUAUAUACAUAUAUAUAAUUGAGGAAAAAAUUAUUUUUCAUAGGAACACACUUAGGUACCCCAAAGAAGACCCCAAACUCAAAAAUAAGGUUGUGAUUUAUACAAGGAAGUUAAGCACACUUACAUAUCAUCCAUGAACUUUGCAACCACGACAUGCAGGAGACUAAUAACAACAAUGGCAUUAUGAAUUAAGUAGGCUAAUUUUUCAAAAUGUAAAAUAGAACACAAAAAUAGCAAAAUAUAAGUGAAGAAGGAGAGGAGGCAAACGAUUAGAUGAGGAUGGAGGAGAUCAGGGUAACCUCAAAACUUAAUACCUGUAUAUAUUCAAGUAGGGACAGGAUGAGUAUACUCCAAAUUUAAUCCUAAUUAUAUAUUUUUUUAAAAUUAACCCGACUUAAUUUUAAAAAUUUUACUUUAAUAAAUCAAGUCAAGUUAGAAAUUGUUGAUUCGGAAUUUUUUACAUCCCAAUGCGUGAGCAUGUGUGUAUCAUUUUCUCCCCCUCCCCAUUCACCUUCUUCAUAUUCGUUGAACCUUAACCCUAAUCCUUUUAAUCACUAUUAAUAAUUAUGUUCCUACCUCACUCUAAUAAUUAAUCUUCCUGACCCCUUCACAUAUAGAUUUCAUCGAUUCUUUUCUGCUCUUAAUCUCAGCAUUUAUUAUUAUUAUUUUCCUGCCUUAACCUAACUUAAAUCCACCCUUUUUGUUUUCCUCAUUCUUCCUCGUCCUUCAUAUUGAUUUUCUUUCCCUUGGUCAUUCAAUCAUGCCCUCAUUCAAAACCUCAAAAUUUCAAGACCUUAAAAUGCAAUUUUACAUUUUAAGGGGGCCGAGGCCCAUGCCAGCCUCACUGGCUUCGCCUCUGCACCUAUUCUUAUUCUCUAAACUCAUCUUGUUCAUCAAAACUAUUAUAAAUCGUGAAGAAAACAUAAAAAAAUGUUUUGCAGUGAAAUUUCAAAAUAUAUUUUCAUAAAAUGAAUCGACUUAUGAUGUUUAAAUAAUAAAUUUAAUCAAAUAAAUUACAUGUUUGCAUGUAUGUUCGAUGUUGCAGGGAGAUUGGGAAUCACAAGUUGUCUUUGGACAGAUUCUCAAACUUUCCAAUCAAUCAUUAUUGAAAAUCUAAUUGUUUCAAACUUUCAACUAAAUGAUCUUUUUCACUAUUUUGGAAAUCAUGGAUGCUUGGAGAGCGGGUCCAAUCUGAAACUUUGAACACAUGAUAAAUCACAAAAUUCCUAACUAGGUUUGUGCAAUCCCUCCCUUAAACACCUUGUAUGCUACUAGAUCUCAAAUUUUAGUUGCUUAAAUACAAUUAUAGUUCUUAACUAAUCUCGAAGCAAUAACUCAGGAAAAAUUGUCUAUUUUUACAAAAGAAAAAAUUGCAAUAAUAAAUCUCUCUAAAUUUCAACAAAGUAAUCUAAAGAUGUUUUCUUACUUGGUGUGGUUAGCUAGCAUGUGUAUCUACAGAGGGGAGAAAUUUCAACUUAUAAGAUAUAGGAGUGUCGACUUUUCGUAUCCCAUGAAUUUUAUUUUGUUUUUGAAAUCUUCUAGUCUCCAUGGGUAAUUAACCAUAAAGGGGAAGAAUAGCCAAAAUAUCAUUUUUCUUUUCUUUUAAUUCUUUUAAAUUGGGUCAAAGUCAACUCAAUGAGUGGCCCAUAUUAAUCGCUUGUUUUCAUUAAAAUCUAAUGGUUCAAAAUGCUUCUCAACAUGUACCCUUAUAAAAAAAUACUUCUCAACAUCAACACAUUUUCCUUUUAAUACUCCAAAAUAUGUCACAUGAAAGGUCCAAAUUACCCAUUUAUUAAUCCUAUAUUCAAUUUACUACAAUAAUUCUCUUUAUGGAAAAAUUAUACUUUAGUCUCUAUUCUUUUACUUUCAUUCAAUUUAGUCCAUACAUUUAUUCUAAUUCCUUAUAGCAAUAUAUUUUCUAUAUCUCUUUCAUACCAAUAAUAAUUAUUAAACCACUCUUUUUCUUCUUAACAAUCAAUAUGUACCCUAAUCCUUACAUUUUCUCCAAAUAUCAAUUUAAUCAUUUUUUUGUAAUUUUAAUCUCACACUCGUCCUUGCAAAUUUCCUUUCCCAAAAAUCUAAUUAAUUCAUUUAAAAUAUAUCCAUUUAAACUAUUCUCAUAAAUUCUAUUGUACAUGUACCCAAAACAAUACUAUUUACUGUACCGAAAUUUGGGGCGUUACACCAUUUACUAAGUAUGCAUGCCUCAUUUGAACAUUUUAUGGCACUUAGCACUUUAGUUUAAUAUAUAUUUUUCCCACACAAAGAACUCACCUAAUGAUUCUUACAUUCAUGCAUGUUUGUGUUGUUUUUAGUUAUUUAUGCAUAUUUUAUGUUUGUACAUGUGUUAGUAUACUUUGUAUAGGAUUUAAAUAGUUUAUAUAGGGUUUUAGGCUUAGUUUUAGGCUUUUUAUUGCACUUUUGCUACAGGGUAUCGAUACCAACUAUGAGGUAUCAAUGCCUCUGCCUAUAAAUGACCGUUUGAUCAUUUUUUAUAUUCGAUACCAAUACACAUACAUAUGUGUUGAUACCACUGGCCCUAGCAGCAUUUAGGUGAUUUUUUAGGUUCUUAGGUACAUAUAAGGGUGGAGUAUCUUAGCUUAAAUUUUUCAAUGAAAUUGAAAAUAUUUUGUGUUUUAAUGAUCUUUAUUGAAAACAUUUGACUUUUCAAGAAAUUAUGUGAUUAAUAUAUAUGAUUCUUUAAAUUUAUCGAGAGUACUUGUAACACUCCAUACCCGACCUGAUUGUCGGAUCUAGAUUACAGGGUGUUACACAUCAAAAUCAAAAAUUAACUAACACAUUCUUUUAAAAGUAUGUUCCACCAUUCUGACUUACUGUAGUUAUUAUUAAAAUACAGUUAUCUAUUUGACCAUGCCACAUAAAUUUAUUUCGAUUAUGUUACAUUAAUCUAAGAUACAAAAUAAUUCAUAAAGUCGUUUAAACAUAUCAAAUGUUAGCUUUGUUUGGAAAUAAUAUUCUUAUCAAAACUAAUUACAAUAAGACUUUGACCUUGAGACAUCACCUCUGGGUCGCUCUGUUGUUUACAUAUUAUGAAUAGGAAGCACAUCUGCCUGGAUACGAUGGAUCCUGGUCUAGUCCUUUUAUGAACUAUUGAAUUUUCUUAUUACCUGCAAUAUAUAAUGUCACAAACGUAAGUUCAAAUUAACUUAGUAAGUUUUGCGUACCUUGCAUUAGCAAAAUGCUAAUAAGAUGGCAUUUCAAUAUUUAGAAUUAAAGUCUGACUGUCUCUACUAGGUUGGUUCGCCAAUAUCAUUGGAAUGGUAUUUAUGUCACAUAAUAUGGCUCACCCAUACUUGGUACAUCAUCCGUAAAAACACCAUUGCUUAAUUACUUGCACAACCUGGUGAACAAUUCAUCUUGCUUGGUUGUUCUUGAUCUAUUACGGAAGUCUUGAAAAUAAAGAUUUCAUAAUUGGCCAUACAAAGCCUUCCACACAAAAAGCUUUCAAUGAUGAGACUUCGCAAAUGAAAUAUCAGAAUGCAAAUAAACAUUUGGCUACUUGGUGGAUUAUCUUUGCAUAUUCUAUCUUUGUUAGUUACCUUUGUGGACCCAUAUGUAGCUACUUCCUUAAGAGAAAAUCUUUGCUGAUUCUUACUUACGAAUGUAUGAAAGAAAACCCAUAGUGCAACUUGCACCAAUAUAUACAGGUAAUCAGAUAAGACAAUCUUGGUGAAUGUACCCUUAUGUAGAUUGUUAUUGCGACUUGUCCUAACGGACUUAGAUUCAUAUUGUGAUUCUCACGGAUUCCUGUUUUAGACCCAAGUCUAUGAAUUCAUGCUUUACGAACAUACCAACAGAUUCAUAAUGAAAACCCUCCAUAACGAGUCAUUAAAGAAAACUAACACAUCUUAAUCAAACAAACAAAUUUGGCAGACCUUCAUAUUUUGCCCUUGUCUUGAAAUCACAGGUAACCGAUUCAUAGUGAUAGACUUUUAGAAACAGAUAACAUAGGAGCAGAUACUUAAGAGCGAAUUUUCUAGUAUGAAAUCAUUCACGUAAGAUAGUCUUGAUGGACUGUCAUAACUUACACAAACGGACUCGUAUAAAUAGAUAACUCAUUCUUGGCGGACUUAUGAAUUAAACCAAGCGAACUUUCAUAUAUUUCAUAACUUUCAUAUGUCAUGACCAUGAGCUUGCUUACACAUAUGAGGCUUAAAGCCUUAGAAUCAGUAGAGUCUCAUACAUACAUAGAACCGACAUUGGGUUAUCAUAUCCAUUUGCGCAUAUAUCUCUGUAUAAUCCACCCGAACCUCCGUAAAUCUAAAAACCAAGCAUAUACAUUCUUCGUACUAUUUACCCAAACUUUUCACAAAGCUAGUUAACACAUGGCAGAGAGUGCACAUCGUGAUAUUUCUUCGUUUAUCAUCCGUCAAACAACACUUCAAAACUCCGCAUAAUCAUACACAGGCAUUCUACCAACACUACUGUUUUUGUACGACACACAUUAUGCCAAACAUUUCAUGAAUUUUUCACUUUAACACAACAAACCUCACGAUACGUCAAUAUUCUAUUAUGGAGUAACUUACCAUUACAUAACAUCUAGCCAUAGGAUGGCGCAACAUUUUCUCAACACUCAACCAAUAUAACCAACAAACAUUACGCCAAACAUCUCAUUUAUACUUUAUAGAUAGACUUACAACCAGUCAUAUACUUUUAUUUCUACACACAACAUGCGUCUCGAUGUAUCAUCAUUCAACCAUAGAAUUCACCAUCUUAAGAUAGACGUUAUAGAUCCAACAAACAAUACCAAACAUAAACAUCCAUUUAAGGCUUGGGUUCUAGUACUCAUUUGAAAGUUGACGCUAAUACUUUCUACCUAGCUUCUUCCUUUGCUACCCAAGCCUCCAGCUUAAAAAAACAUAACAACUAUUUUAGAAUCUUCAGUGAAGAUAUUUUAUCAUCAUAAAAACUAGAAUUUUUUUGCAUGCAGAGGCCAUUAAAAUUAUCAUCCACAACCUUAUCCAAUACAAAACAGAAUCGAUGGAUAGCUGAAAUCCUUAACUUUCAUUCCUUUACUUAACUCUGUGACACAAAAAGGUUAAGAAGCUUACCAACUUAAUGAAUUAUCUAUUACAAACUUUAGCUUUUUUCCUCCAUCCAAACCUCUUACAAUAUUUCUCUCUUUCAUCCAGAUCAAUGAAGAAGAUUAAGAAAAAACAGAUAAAGUACGUAAUGAAUGACUAACACUAAAAAUUAAUUGAGAAAAAUGUAAUGAAGAUAUUACCUCUAGGAGUGGUAUCUUUAAAAGGGUGUGAGAGCUAGACCUUUAGGAAAGUGUGGAAGUUGCACCCUUAAGACUCGUACCCUUAAUAGAAUGAACACUUAGUGGAAAGGUAAAAGAGUUGCACCCUUGAUGGAAGGGUGAGAGACAUACCCUUAGCAGAAUGAACCUUUACUAGUAAGGUGAGAGAGUUGUACUCUUAGUGGAAUGAACCUUUAUGGUACGUUUGGUUUGUUGAAAUAUAAUAGAAGAUUAGUAUAGUGGUAUUCGAUAGGAAUUGAAUAGAGAUGUAAUAGAUAUUAUGUAGUUUGGUUGAGUGGAAUGUAAUAGAUGAGAAAUUGCAUUACUUUAUUUUGUUGAAUGGAAUGAUAUUAAAGAAUAUAGAAAGAAUAAAUGAAAAUGUCAUUUUUACCCUUGAAUUAAAAAAGAAUUUUUUAAGUAUAGAGUUUAAUUUAAUAAAAGUUUUAUUAUAUAACAUAUUAAAAAUAUUAUUCUAUAAUUUUAAUAUUUUAUAAAGAAUUCUAAUAUAUUAUUUACAAUUUAAUAUAUUAAAAUGUGUAAUGAUAAAAUAUUUUAAAUUUAUUACUAUUAAAAAGAUAAAACUAUAUUUUUUUUUAACAUUAAUCUCAUUAUAAGUUUUUAUUAUAUUUGUUCUUUUUUUAUAGAAUAUAAUGUCUAGAACUACUCAUAAUCCCUUCCUAAUCCUUAAAUAGGAAGAUAACGUGCUACAGCGUACUCGAACUCACGUCCUCCUGUAUUGGGAACAAUACCAAUACUAAUCGAGUUAAAACUCAACCAGUAAAUAUAAAAUUGUAUUUAAAAAAAAUACUAUAAUAUAAAUGAUAUAAUAUCUAAAUUAUAUCUUUCAUGUAAAAAUAUUUAAUAAUCACUUUAUUUAUAUGAGGGUUAAAUACAAGAUUGGUACCCAAAUUUGUCCACUUCUCCCAGAUUGAUACCUAUGGUUUUUUUUUUGUCUCAGAUUGAUAUUCGAACUUUUUCUCCAUCCAGUAGUUUGGUACCUGAUACUAACGGCAUUAAUUUUUUUGCUAAUGUGACAAUGCUGACCACUCAUGCAUCGCCACAGACAUCCUAUUGUUCUUUCGUUUUGUUUUUGUUUUUAUUUUCUUUUUUAUUUUCCCUCCUCUUCCCUUUUUCUUUUCUUUUCUUUUUUCUUUUGCUAGCCUGUUUCUACACUUCAUCUUUCUUCUGUAAAAAAUUCUCAAAGUUUUCCCUCACUUUCUCACCAUCCAAUCACCACAAAAAUCCCCCUUUUUGCUAUUGUAUAUCCCCUUAGAUCUCUUUCUUUUGUUGUUAUAUUCACACAAGUUUCAAAAAUUUCUUCUACGUAAUCCACGGAAGCCUGUUUCUUCGAUACUCUCAAAGCUCAACCUUUUUGAGUUAUUUUUUUUCACUUUGGGUUCUUUAUCGCUUUUAAAAUUUUUACCUGAUCAAUAGUGCAAGAUUAAAAUUUUUGAUGUUUGAUGAACAUGUUUAUGGAAAAUCUUGAACCCGAAGACAUAAUCAAUGUUUAAAAUAAAAUCUUUGAAACACUUUUUCGAACAUUACAAAAACUUGCAGAACAAGAGAAAAAAGAAUUGAUCGAGAAAUCAACAAAAAAAUAGAAACUAUCAGAAUACCAAUUGACAACACAAUCUCAGAACAAAAAAAUAGAAACUCGAAAAAUCAACAAAAAAAUAGAAACUAAUAUUAGAAUACCAAUCGGCUACACAAUCUCAGAACAAAAAAAAAAGAAUCUUGCAUGUAUGUUAAGCUUUUGGGGUUUGAGGGGAUUUUAGGCUCGAUUUUUAAAUGACAAAGGGAGGAGGCUUCGAUGAUAAUGGCCUCACCUAGGUUUAACCCUUAAGCCAUGAAGAGGCCACCAUAUCCAUAGGUUUGGUGAGCCCUAAAAGAAAAGAAAAUUUUGGCUAUUUAGGUUUCAAAAUUCUUCUUGAAAGAGAACAAAAGAAAGAUUUUUUUUUUGUUUUCAAGGAAAAUAAAAGAAAUGAUUUAAAAAAGAAAGAGAUCAUUUUUGCUAGCCAUCGUGCACCAUCAUCGGAAAACUGGAGAAUAUUGGGUUCCCUAGCAAUAAAAUCUUGCUAGAAAAGAGAACAAAAAGUAAAGGAUGGAGGAAAAAAAAGAGGAGCAAUAAUUGGUGCAAUUGUUGUUAUCUUCAUCCCUAAGUAACAUCAGCUGUUGAGCAACUACUACCAUGUUUGAACAUUGGGAAAAUUUAGGGGGGUUUAAGGAGGAAAGAAGAAAGAAAGAAGUGUAAAAUGCAUGCCCAGCAAAAAAAAAAGGAAAAGAAUGAGGGAAAAUAAAAAACAAAAAAAUAAAAACAAAAAGAAGGCCAAAUAGGACGCCACGUGGCUGUGCAUGAGUGGUCAGCGUUGCCACGUCAGUAAAAUCUUAACGUCGUUAGUCUAAGGUAUCAAAUUAGUGGACAAAAAAAAAGUCCGAGUACUAAUUUGGGACAAAAAAAUCAUAGGUAUCAAUAUGAGAGAAGUGGAAAAGUUUGGGUAUCAAUUUUAUAUUUAACCCUAAAUUUAAAGAGUUUUCACAUUAUUAUUUUAGUUUGCUUUCCCUCAUUAGCCGACUCUCAAGUUUUUCUAUCUUUAGAACAUUCCCUUGAAUAAAAAAACCCAAAAAACUUCUAUUACUUUCAUAACACAACUAGUUGUCGCUGCCUUCUGCCACCAUUCUCCUUCAUCGAUGGACUUUCAAUCUUUUUCAAAAGUGCAUGGCAUAACAAUUUUGAUCCCUUUCCUUGAUUUUCCCUUUUUGUUUCUAAAUCAUCUUCUAAACUCUUUGAUCUACAAAGUACUUUUGACUCACCAUAUUUUUUUUUCUAAACCAUCAUUCUAAAAUUUUUUUUGGAAGGGUAAGAGGGUUAUAUCUUUAGUGGAAGGGUGAAAGAGUUGUACCCUUAGAGGGAUGAACCCUUAAUAUAGCAGGGGUGUAAUUAUUGAUUGAUAUAUUUGUGUUUAUGCAUUUAGAGAAUUUUAUGGAGGGUGAAAUCGUUGACUUGAUUUGCCCAUGUUUAUGUAUUUGAAGAAAUUCAUAGGUGUAACCGAACUCAAUAGGCCCAAGAUUACAUAAUUGGAGGAAUUCGCAUAGGGUGCAACCGUUGACCUGACAAGUUUGAGAUUACGCAAUUGGAGAAUUUCACGAAAGAUAUAACUGUUGACUUGCCUAACAUUAUACAAUUGGAGAAUUUCAUGAAUGAUACAACCGUUGACUUGAUAGGUUUGAUAUUACAUAAUUGGAGAAUUUUGUAAAUGGUGCUGCUAAACCGAGUAUUACACAAUUGGAGAAAGUAGCAUAGGUGCAGCUGUCAAUAGUUGAACUACCUCGAAUUACACAAUUUACCAAUGUAGCGGAAGUGCAAUCAUCAACAAUUGAACUGCCCAGGAUUAUGCGAAUUUAAGGUCAUAAUGCAAGUAAGGUUCCACUGUUCAGUAAAACUAAUCGAACAUAAGAACUUUGGAUGACUAAUAUAUGCAUGAGGGGUUCAUACCUCAAAAGUGUCAAAGGGUAACAAUCUCUUUUAUACAUAAUUAUCACAUCACAACCCUCAUUUUCCUUUUCUUUAAUAAAUAUAUAAUGUAUAUAUAUGUAGGGUGUAACCCUGUGGGGUUUUUCUCUUCUUGUACCUUUUUGUGGGUUUUUAAAAAAAAAAUAUAUGUAAUAUAUAGGAGGGGUGCAAACCCCUAAUGGGACACCCCAUUUCUACACACCCUUCAUAGGUGCCUCCCCUCUCUAAUAAAAAUAUGAUAUAUACAUACAUGCAUAUAUGAAGGGAGAGGUGUACAUCCCUCGUGGAAAAUCCCUUAUGAGUUUUCCUUACACACAUUUGUGGGUGUUUCUUAUUGUUAGACAAAAUACGUUAGCGAAUAAAAUAAAUUAAAUAUAAAUAAAGAUAGUAUAAUUUAUAUUUAAUUUAUCAAAUAUGAAAAACAAUCAAAAUUAAAAUGAAUAAGAGUUUAAAUCAGAAGGAAAAAAUAGGGAUUUUAUGAAACGUUGAGGCUUAUGAAAUAUAGUUUCCUUAAGGCAGAUUUGGCCGCUCCUAUAGUACUUGGAGCAAUGUUGGUCGAAUAUCUCCUAGGAUACAACAACAGUAGUGAUCAAAGUAGUGACACCUCUACAAUGAUCAACGAACGAACUUUGACUUUUUCUAUCACCAAAAUAUUGUAAAAAUAUGGAGAGGCAAAAUAAGAAUUUUGAAAUGAACAGAAUUUCAGUAUAAGAAAUUAUUUGAAUGUAGGUUCAAUCCUACAGAAUACACAACCUUUUAAAGGCAUUUAGGAAAGUUGAAAAUUUGGAAAUAACAAUAAAAUCUGCCAUUAAGGAGCCAAAAAAUCAAAUUGAUUUGAAAAUAAAAUCAAAUCAGAUAUUAUGUAUGGUAAGGAAAAAUAAAUUUGUGUUGGGCUUAAAAUAUCCAUAAGGAUGCCUAUUUUGGCUAGUUGACCAAUUUGAAAAUUUCGUGUCGCUUAUAUCAUGCGGUGUGCCCCAACCCCAUCAAGUUUGCACUUGCAUCCCCUCUAUGCACGAGGCAAUAUUACAAGUUUAAUCAUUCAAUUACUUUUUAAGAGAGUUCACAUAUAUAAACACAUCUCACACUUGGUAUUUAACCAAUAUGGUAUCUAAGCUUUUACUUUUCCUCAACAAUAUUUCCAAGUAGCUUACUUUGAGCAUUAAUUUCUCAUUCAUCACUCAAUCAUUUUGAGCAUAUGAUAUAUCGUUGUAAAGGUCUCAUGGAGUAGAAUAUGAAAUCAUAAAUUUAUGAUUCAACUCUCCACCUUUACCUAUUGAGAAUAUGUCUCAAAGUUACCAUAAAAGUAAUUUUUCCAACACUUAUAUAUAUAUUAAGAUAUAUAAUAUGUAUGCAUAAGUGAGGGUUACACUCCUCGUUGGGUUCAUACCCUAAAAUAUAUAAAAUAUAUGAAUGGAUGGGUUCAUACCCUAAAAGUGACAAGGAAUUCACGACUUUUUUUUUAGAUUAGCUAUUGAAACCCAAUGGCUUAUAUAUUUGAAAUCUAUAUCGAACAGAAAAGGGUAAGAGAGGCUAACUUGAUUUAGUUAUGAAAUUAUUGUGAACAAACACAAGUAUUUUGAGAGUUCUUUCGUUGGACAAAGUCAUCUUACCUGAAUUUAUUUUGAUCUACUCUCAUCGCAUUAAUAGUUAUGCAAGAUUUCAACAAGGGAGAAGAAUGUAGUGAGAAGUUUGAGACAGUUCACCUGUAUAGGGCGGAUAGUUGUUAGUGAUUGAGAUAAAAGGGAGAAGAAGUGUACAAACCCUAUAAUGUUAGGAGCCCAAAAAUAAUGUAUGGUGGCAGAAAAGAUGAAAGCCUUCUUAAGUUAAUAUUUAUGUAUAACAAUAUUCAAGGUAACUUAGAUUGGAUGAAUUCAAUUUAAACUUAAAUAAAAUUAAUUUAAAGAUGUAAAUUUUAGUAAAUAUGAAAGCAUAUUUAAAAAUUCGUGUUUAAAAUUUUUAUAAUUAAAUUUAAAUAAAAUAAUUUUACUAUUAAUUAAAUACACUUCAACAAUAUUUUCUAUAGAAAAGUUGGACCAAUUUAAAUUAUCAAGAAUCUGUCGUAAAUUCAAACUAUUUUAAAUCGAACCUAUGAGAUCAUGGAAGGGACAAUGUCAGAACUGCCAAGCAACUGAGGCAUAAGCACCCGUUAUACAAUUAUUAUUUUUUGAAAUCAUAUACAAUUAUUUAUUUAGUUAGGCAUAAUCUUAAAUUUAGUCCUUAAUUUUUAUAUUUUUAUCAAUUUGAUCCUUAUCUUUUAGUUAGAUUUAAUCUCAACUUUUUUUUUAAAAUAUUAAUAUUUCAAAAAAAAUAUUUUUUAAAGAAAAAUACUUACUAAAACAUAAAAAAAUUUAAACAUAAUAGCUUCUAUAGUGAUCCACAUUUACUUUAUGCUAUUUUUUCUUUUGAAUUUUUAUGAACUUUUUAUUUUUUUGAAAUUUUUUUAUAAUUCUAAAAUUUUUUGUUGACAUAACAUAUAAAAAAAUAAUAUCAUAUUAAUAUAAAUUACAUAUAGAUUACUAUCCGAAGUGUUAUACCAAUAUUGUUAAAAAUUGAUGUUAUAAUAGUAUUUUUAUUAAAAAACGAUUUAACUGUUGUUGAGAAGUUAAUAGUAAAAUUUAGCUAAAAUGGACCAAAUUGAUAAAAAAUGUAAGUAUUAGAGCUAAAAUGGUAUUUUGCCUCUUUAGUUAUUAUUAUCGAACACUAGUAUUCUUUUCCUUUUUAAAAUUUUUUGCUCUUACGUGCCAUGGCAGGCUCGAGGGAAUUGCAGGCCAAAAACCAAUAGUUCAAUACCGGCCCCCCUCCCCCCAAAAAAAAAAAUAGCUGAAGAGAAAUACGAAAAAUAGUAACAAUAAGAAAAUUAAACGAUGGGCAGAGUUGAAGAAAAAAAGCGAUUUAAUUUUUUAGGCAUUUGAAGUUUUAAUGUGGAAUGGGGCCAUGGAAUCCAAGGCCAGAAACAGAGAUCGGUGUGGUUGCUCUUCUUCUUCGUCGAUCUGUAAGUUCUUUGUUUUUUCUUUGAAUCUCUUCUCCGGUUUUGACCGACUCAAAUAAAAUUUGAAUCUCAGUUUUGUUAAGGUUUUCUGGUCAAUUUCUAGGGUUUUGGGUUGGAGCCCUGGAUCUUGUCAUCCUUAGAUUUGAUUCACAAGAUUGGGAAUUUCUCUAGGUCUGCGAAAAUGUACCAAUAUUAUGUUUUGUUUUUCGGAAUCAGGGUGAGAUUUUUAAAGAGGGAAAAAGGAAUACUUUACACUUCAGUAGUAAGGAAAAAAAAAAGAAUGAGAAAUAUCGGAGUCGGAUUUGUACUUUUUAGUAAUUGAAGUUAAAACAAGUAGGUAAUGCCAGUUAAGAAAAAAAUCACCCCUACCCUUAUUUUCUAGUUAAUAGUAGCAGUUUUGUGUUCUUGGAUUUGCAAUUGUUAUUUAACCUUGAUUCAGUUAUUAUUAUUAGGAAGUAGGCCAUUACAAUAAAAGAAAACCAAAAAAGAAAUCAAAUUUCACCUGGCAGCCCAAGAAAAUAAAAUGCUAGAUGGAUAUUCCAGGUUCUGUUUUUUUUCUUUUCGGCUACUUUUCUUAUAUUUGAAUUUGUAGGAAAUGGAGAAAACUGAAUGUUUCAAAAUUUAUUGAUUAUCUUCUCCAAAGCUUGUUUUCUAAAUGUGAAAAGAGCAUUCGAAGCUGGCAUUUUUGUUCAACUUCGUUUCUGACUUAAAAUAAAUAAACUGUUUGUCUCUUUUGGUUGGGUAUUUCAGGUUCAGUAACUUAUUGCUUCUAGUCCCUGCAUAUAGAUCUAUAGCACUUCAUAAUGACGGAACCAAGCUCAGUAGACUUGAUUUUGGACUUUCUGAGGAGAAAUCGCUUUACGAGAGCUGAGGCAGCUUUGCGUAGUGAACUCGGUAACCGACCUGAUUUGAAUGGAUUCCUUCAGAAACUUACCCUUGAAGAAAAGGACUCUGGCAAGGUUCUAGAAGAAGAAAAGGGGAAAAAAACAGUAGGUGAAAAUCAUGGUUUAGGUUCUCGAAACAGUGGUGAGGUUUCUAAGGAACUUAUAAUAAAAGAGAUAGAGUGUGGGGCUGGCAGAAAUGGGUCUGAAAGCAAAUCGAGAAAUGCUGUUUCUACUGGGGAGCAUAACAAACCUAAUGAAGCAAAAGUGAUAAGUGAUAAGAGUUUCACUUUCUCUAAAAAUUUAGAGGAGACUGUACUUAAUUUUCUGUCAAGGAACUUUAAUACUACCAAUCACUCUGAUCUAUACAAAAAUGGUGGUUUUGUUAAUCGCACUAGCUUUUUGGAGCUAGAGAAACAAGACCUGUCAAGAUGUGGUACAGCUGAAGCUUCUGAAACAGAUAAAAGUAAUGUUAAAUAUGGAGAAGAGAUUAUGUUUCCAGGUGAAAUCAGAAGUUCAUGGCUUGGGAAUACUAGCAAAGCUAAUGUAGAUUCCAAGUAUGAUAAGUUUCAUGCCAGUGAAACUAAGGAGCUUGAUCAGCAUUAUAAGACAACCAGUGCAUACUUGAUGGAAAACUUUGCUGAUAAUAGCAGAUGGUCUAGAACUGAGGAACCCGCUAGUGUGUCUUCAGAGAUAUGGAAAAAUUGUUCUGUUAAGACUGUUUUCCCAUUCCCCGAGGGGGAUGUUUCUAUCAGAUAUGAUGCUGUUAAUACUUCAGAAAAGAGAGAAGGGAAACAGAAGGCAUGUGCACCUGAUGUUAGGGCAGCAAUUAAGGAACAGGUAGAUGAGGUUGGAAGGGCUCUAUUCUUUGGGAAGUCUCAAGGAGCUGCUGAGCAAAAAGGAAAAAAUGGGUUAGUCUUCCCUCUUGCAUCCGAAAAUCCAAAGGAAGAGUUUCCUAGGUUGCCACCAGUUAAACUCAAGUCAGAGGAGAAGUCAUUGAAUGUCAAUUGGGAGGAAAAAUAUGAGCGUGAUGUCCCAGGUGCAAAGCUCACUAGUGCUGACAAUGCAUUCCUUAUAGGGUCCUAUCUGGACGUUCCCAUUGGGCAAGAGAUAAGCUCUUCAGGUUGGUUCAUAUAACUAUGUGGUUAUUCGAUGAAUGCUUACGGUGAUGGUUGAUUUUAUUUAAAUUAAUGAUUGCAAUUAGCUAAUUGUCCGAACUUCUAAUGUUUCUACUUUUUCCUUUUCAUUUUAUUAUAUGUGCUGGUAAGAUAUAUAUGAAUUUUCUGUCUGUGUCUAUAUGUAUGCAUUGUCUAAACUCUAAGACAUGUCCAAUUUGUUGUAGUAAAGUCUUUCUUAACUUGAAAAGAUUCCAUCUGGCAGUUGGCGGGUUAAAACAUUCCACCAUGUUAUUUAAAUACAUUUUAGAUAUUUGCUACUUUGAGGGUAAGCUGUCUUCAUGCUAUAUAUUCCUUUUCCUUUUCCUUCUUUAGUUAUGCCUUGGUUCGCAUAAACUAAUCCCCCUAAUAUUUGAUAUAGAAACCAGAAAAAAAAUGAUGAUUUGAAAGUAAACAGAAAAGCUCAGAAACAUCUUCUCACUUGAGUUUUGCAAAGAGGAGUUCAACCCAUCGUCCCAGCCUCUGAAAACGAUUUUUAAUAAGCUACAGAAGUACUUCUCACUAGAGAAAUGACAAAUUCAGGUUUCAGACCUCACAGAAACUAACACUAUGUUUGGAUUAAAAGUAGUGAAGGAAAAGAAAGGAAAAGUAAAAGAGUGGAAAGCUAAAGAAAGUAAAUGAUUACAUUUCUCUUGUUUGGAUAACUAAAAUUAAUGAAAGAAAGUAAAGUAAUUUUAACAAUUUUUGUUUGGAUAAACAACGGAAAGGAAAGGAAAGGAAUAAUUAUAAUAAAGUUUUACAAUUAUAACCUUUUUAUAAAGCUAUUUAUAAAAGAAAUAGGGGAGAAAAAAGACACUUUACAAUUUUGUUUUGCUUUCAUUUCCCUAGCUUUCCCCCGAAAUUGGGCUAAAUAAAAAAUUUUAACUUUUAAGGGAAAGCAAGGGAUACUCAAUACCCCUCACUUUCCAUAGCUUAAAUUAUCAAGUCUAUCCAAACAAUGGAAAGGAUGACCCUUUCCCUUACUUUCCUUUCCUUUCCCAACCUCCAAUCCAAACAUAGGCUAAGUAUCAAUUCAUUUUAGAGGACAGAUAUAUUCAACAAUAAUUUAAGAGUGGCUGUAUUUGGAGUAUUGCACUAAUGCUGAACUUGCUAAUUUACUAAGAUUCUAUGCCGGAAAAGUUAAAUUCAAUUUGAUGUCAAGUAGUCUUGCUACUAUCUAGUGUAAACAUAUAGGGUGAAUGACAGUGUGAUUAAUCUUCUUCCUUGAUUAUAUAUAUCAUCUCACAACUAAAACUUCUAACUCAAAUAUUAAAUCUUUCGGACAGCCAUUAAAAAAAUUAUAGCCAAUUGCUGUAGGAUAAUAAGGGAACAAUAGUCUAAUUUCUCCUCUCCAAACUCUAAUUUGGUUUUCAUGCUUAAUCUUUUUCACUUCAGCCCUUUAUGUUCAUAAAAGGGAUUCAACUUGUGGCAUUCUCUGGUUCCCUAGAGUAGGAUGCUAAGUUUUCUUUGUCUUGACCUGAAUAAAGUUCAUAACUAUGGAUGAUGCUUUUGUUUAGAGCAGUUGAUUAUUUCUCUUUUAACUCUGCUGAGUAAAGCUUGUAAAUCCAUUUUAUGAUGAUCCAGGUGGAAAAAGGAAUGCUGGAGGUAGUUGGCUCUCUGUGAGUCAGGGCAUUGCAGAAGAUGCAUCUGAUCUGGUUUCUGGUUUUGCUACUAUUGGUGAUGGAUUGAGUGAAUCUGUUGAUUAUGCAAAUGAUUAUUGGGACUCUGAUGAAUAUGAUGAUGAUGAUGAUGUUGGUUACAUGAGGCAACCUAUCGAGGAUGAAGCCUGGUUUCUAGCUCAUGAAAUUGAUUAUCCUAGUGACAAUGAGAAGGGAACUGGGCAUGCUAGUAUUCCUGAUCCACAAGAAAGAAGUCAAACCAAGGAUGAAGAAGAUGAUCAAUCAUUUGCGGAGGAUGAUUCUUACUUCUCUGGUGAACAUUAUAUCCAGGCAAAGAAUGUUGAACCUGUUGCAGCUUCUGAUGAUCCCAUAGGGCUGUCUGGAACUGAAAUGUAUAGCAGGACCCGUGAGAAUGAUUUAAUUGCCCAAUAUGAUGGGCAGUUAAUGGAUGAAGAGGAGCUUAAUUUGAUUCGCUCUGAACCUGUUUGGCAGGGAUUUGUCACUAAGAGAAAUGACCUUAUCAUGCUAGAGGAUGGGAAAGUUCUUAACGAGUGUGGGAGAUCUCGGCUGGAUGAUAUAUAUAUAGAUGAUGAACAGCAUGGUUCAGUUAGGUCUAUUGGUGUGGGAAUCAACAGUGAUGCUGCUGAUAUUGGCAGUGAAGUACGUACAAGUUUAGUUGGAGAAAGUAGUGAAGGGGAUUUUGAAUAUUUUCAUGAUCAUGAUGUUAUUGGAGGGUCUAGACAAAGUCAUCAUGAGAAAGACAGGAAAAAUAUUGAUAAAUCAAUUAGGGAUAAAAGGAAAACUGGAAAAAAUGAUACAAAUAAGUAUGUUACUGGGAAUGAUAAAGGUCUGACUUGCCAGGUGAAGAAUCUUGCAGAUAGGGGAUUUUCUUUUCCACCUCCACUAAGAGAUGGGCAGUCGGUGCAGGCUGGUUCUAGUAAGUCUCAAUGGUCUAGUAAUUGCAAUGCAGCUGGUGAUGAACAUGAUGAUUGUUUGAGUGCUUUGAUGGGGUCUAAUGAUAUGCUUGCUACAUGGAGACGAAAAAGCAGUGAUUCUUCAGCCGGAAAAUGUUCUAGGGAUGAAAACAAUGGCAAUGCUGUAAGAUCUGCAAAUUCCAGUCCUUCUAGUCUAUCUAAUUAUUGUUAUGAUGAACAAGAGCAGACAAAGAUAAAAGAAGGGAAAACUAGUGGUGUGAGAGAAGAUCCUGGGAUCUCACUUGAGGAUGAAGAGGUUGCUGCUGUCCAAGAGCAAGUGAGGCAAAUUAAAGCGCAGGAGGAGGAAUUUGAGACCUUCAACCUGAAGAUUGUGCAUAGGAAAAACAGGCAUGUUUUUCAAAAUUUCAAUGAUGCAUAAAUGGUGUGAUGUAUCUUCUCUUUCUGUCUUCAUCCUUGAACCGCUCUGGUGGUAUUCUCCAUGAACCCUGCUUGGGUUGGAGAGACAAAGCUGGUUGCAAGCUCCCUCUUUUAGUUGACUGACAAGAGUUCUAGAUUAAUAUGUUUAUGCACCAUAGCAUUUAACUAAUUAGUGUCUCAUUGUUGACUACUACUCCUUUACCAAGUAUUUAGCAAGCUCAUGUUUUGUUGCUUAGCUUAAAUUUUACCCAGUUCACCGUUUGGCAGUUGAAACUAGUUUUCUUUCACUUAUUUGUCCUGUUAUUAAUUUUUAAUAUGAUUUUUAACUUGUAAGAUGAUGAUUGACUUAAAACUUGAUCACUAAAUGAUUGCUAUUGAUUGAUAGCAAUUAUCAUUGGACCACACACACACCCCCAAAAAGAAAGAAGCUUCUUGAAUAUUCAUAGAUGUAGCUAUUUGUUAUCGAUGGCACUGACAUCUAAACAGUUAAAUUUCUACUGCUUUUACAACCUAUGGCAUAUAUUCUUAAUCUUUUCUACUUGCUUGAAAUAUUUCCCUAGUAUGGUUUAUACUGUAGAGUUCUUACAAACAGACUAACUUAGAUAUGCCCUCUUUUUGCUUUUCAGAACUGGAUUUGAGGAGGACAAGAAUUUCCAUGUUGUUUUGAACUCUGUUAUAGCUGGGCGCUAUCAUGUCACCGAGUAUCUUGGAUCAGCUGCUUUUAGUAAAGCUAUACAAGCACAUGACCUACACACUGGCAUGGAUGUCUGUGUCAAAAUUAUAAAGAACAACAAGGAUUUUUUUGAUCAAAGCCUUGAUGAAAUUAAGCUUCUCAAGUAUGUUAACAAACAUGAUCCAGCUGAUAAGCAUCACCUUCUCCGAUUGUAUGAUUACUUUUACUACCGAGUAAGAAAAUGCUGGCCAACAACUGUCUUAUUCCUUGUACAUGCUUUUUAAUGUUCCUAGAUACUGGCUUCUUCCUUUUCUUAUCAUUUUAUAGUUUUUAUUUUUUAUUCUUUACCAUUGGUUAGAUGUUUGCCAGUUUGUUAUAUUUGCAUUCUAGUCCUAAUUGUUUCACAUUCCUAUUGAUACAUACAUUUAAUGCGGAAAUUUUUCUUAACAAAUCUGGCUUCCAGCGGCAAAUGGUUAUAUUUGUUGAAGUUCAAGUUGGCAUGUUAUAACUGCUUUCUCUGAUAGUGAAAUUAAAAUUUUUAUCUUUGGGCUAAUGCAUCAUAGUGUCCUGUACAUACUCAAGAAUGCAUGUUGAAUUGAGUAGCAGCUGACCAUUCUUUAUUUUCCAGGAGCAUUUGCUAAUAGUCUGUGAACUUCUCAAGGCAAACUUAUACGAGUUUCAUAAAUUUAAUAGGGAAUCAGGUGGAGAAGUCUACUUCACAAUGCCAAGAUUGCAGGUUUGGAAAGCUGUUUUCUUCAGAAGAGCAUAUAAUCUCUGUCUUGCCAUUACUUAAUCUUCUUUUAAAUUCUUCUGUGCAGUCAAUUACCAUUCAGUGUUUGGAGGCUCUUCAGUUUUUGCACAGCCUUGGCCUAAUACAUUGUGAUCUGAAGCCAGAAAAUAUCUUAGUGAAAAGCUAUAGUAGAUGUGAGGUGAAGGUCAUUGAUCUUGGGAGCAGUUGUUUUGAGACAGAUCAUUUAUGCUCCUAUGUUCAAUCCAGGUCCUAUCGGGCUCCAGAGGUUAUCCUAGGGCUUCAAUAUGAUAAGAAGAUUGAUAUUUGGUCACUUGGCUGCAUCUUGGCGGAACUUUGUACUGGCAAUGUAAGUAUUGGUCUUCUUUAGACAUUAAUUAGUAUUUGCUUCUUAUGAAUCAUGCUAUGAUAUGUGGUUUUCUAGCACAAUUUUUUUUUUCAUUGUUUCUUUUACUACUUUGAAGAUAAAGAAUUAUAAACAAAAAAGCUUGGGAAUGUCACGCAUUUGAAUAAAUCAUUAAAUUCAAUGGAAAAAAGACUUGAUUGAGCAUGAUUUAGGUUUGAAGUGAACUCACUGGUUCUGAAACUGAAAAAAUUAAAACAAGAAAAGGAAUAAAAUAUUGUUCAAUUUUAUGACCUCUUUGUAAUUGCAUUUGGUGAUGUCCUCAUCCAUAAAUGCUGGAUGGAUUAAAUUUUGGAACUUUACUAUUUGCAAGUCUCUGGUUAAAAAAAUUCAGGAAGACUAGUUGCUUGAGUUGUUAAAGCGAAGAUAUGUAAGUUGCCUGACAUAAGUUGUAGCACAAACUUGACCAAAAGAAAAUGUUUCUUAUGUUGUGGUAUCGAGAUCUAUUUCGUUCAUUCAUUUCAUUGACUUAUAUGUUAUUCGGACUUGUCAUUUCUUGAAGUACCCAUGUUCAUAACCCAUGCUAGAUACAAUUUUAGACAUAGGUUUGAAGAUAUGAUCCGCUAUAUACUGGAAAAAAAAGAAAAAAAUUGAACAUAUCCAUGUCAGUUACAUACCAGCAUGCGGCAUACCCUAGGACAAUCAAUAUAGUUGGUUUAUGUACUGACAACUUUGAUUGAUUUCUUUAUUUAAUUUUACCGGAAAAAGCAUAUUCUUUCACUGUGAUACAUAUGUAUAUAUGAGUAUAUGAAAUAUGGAUAAUAUUCUUGGAGAAUUAUUUUUCCCUUUUCUGUUCUAUUUCUCUCUAGCCUCAAGUGUAGGUUAUAUUGGUCAUUACUGUUUAUAAUUUAUCGAUUUUAUUGCUACACCUGUCUAUGAAUGCUUGGUACAAUUUGAUCUCAAUUUGAUGGUGUAGGUCCUGUUCCAAAAUGAUUCACCUGCGACAUUACUUGCGAGGGUAAUUGGAAUCAUAGGUCCCAUUGAACAAGGCAUGCUUGCAAAAGGGCGGGAUACAUACAAAUAUUUUACAAAGAAUCACAUGCUUUAUGAACGUAGUCAGGUCCAUAUUUUCUUAUUUUUUACUUGUUGGUUAAAAGUAGUUUAUUCUGGACAUUGCUUCCCACUUGAAUGUAGUUUUCAUGCUAAUGCAUUUGGGUUUAAAAGUGGUGUGUAUUUGCCAAUAUCUCAGGAGACCAACAGACUAGAAUAUCUGAUACCCAAGAAGACAUCGCUGAGGCAUCGAUUGCCUAUGGGGGACCAGGGGUUUAUCGAUUUUAUUGCUCAUUUGCUUGAAGUAAACCCAAAAAAGCGCCCUUCUGCAUCGGAGGCUCUGAAGCAUCCAUGGCUAUCAUACCCAUAUGAACCGAUAUCAGCUUGAGUUGCAUGCAGAUUUGCUUGACUCUUAUUGACUGGGGAAGGAGGUGUAUUUUAUUACUGGCUCGGAGUUGGUUUUGAUCUAUUUGAAGUCAUCACUGUCACCCCCCUUCACAUGCCUGCAAAAUGCAAUUGAAAGGUGUGUUUGAUUUUGUUUGGUUAUAAAUAUUUAUGUUUUUAUUUCCUUUCCCCCAAUAUUAAAGUAGUACUUAAUUCAACAUUAUGAAGGAUGUAAUUUUGAAACGGUGUAUCCUGAAGAGGUUUCCUUCAUCAAUGAGGUGGAAGGGGAAUCUAAUCUUGUUGUACAUGGUGUGAUAAUUCUUUUAGGAUUAGAUUGUGAAAUAGUUUUUUGUUUUGUUAUUUUUUUUUUCUGCUGCACUGCACUAUUUCAUCAAUCAAACCUGCUACUCCAAAUUAGUUCUCACACACUGCUGCAUUCAGUGUACUUUCAUUGCUGCUUCCCACAUCUUCGCAUUUUAUUAAGGUCGGCAUCACCAUUGUGUGUUUAUAUAUACACACAUAUAAUAUAUAAAAACAAGGAACAUAGCAAUACUGUAGAAGUGUGGCUUUACGUUCCUUUUCUCGUUUGGGUUGGGUUGGAACGAGAGAAAAAUAAUCUUUUUACUUGCUUCAAGAGUAUAGUCUUAUUUUUUUUUAAUAAACAAAUUGUUAAUUGAUAUUUAUUAAUUUUGAAACUUUAUUUUUAAAAUAAAACAUUUGAUUACAAAAUGUUGCAUAAAAGGGCUGUUAAUUUAAUUGUAAUUUUAAAAUUAGUCAAAUAGAGGGAUGUAAAAGAAUGGAGAGAUGAGAGACAUAAUUUAACUCAAAAGAGAAAAAUAUACAGAGAUAAAAAAAAUGUUUCUAUAUAUGCAUUUGUUUUCUUUCCUAAUCUUACUAUGUUGAACCGAAUGAUGAUGGAGGAAUGAGUAGCUUUCUUCCACUAUCUUAUAUAUUUUAUAAUUAAUUAAAGCAUCUAAUGGCUAACAAUUAACCUUAGAAAUCUUAAAGGCCAUCCAUGGUUGGCAUCACUCCUCUCCACUAACAUGAAAAUAUUUAUGGUUUAAUUGCUAAUUAAGUCCUUAAAAUUCCCAAGUUUUCUACUUCUUUUAAGUCCAACAUAAAUUCUUCGCUACGACUGACAGACAUUUGCAUUCGAAAAUUGAAUCCGCUCCAGCUUCAACAUCCAGAAUUUUGGAGUUUCACAUAAUGGCUCGGCUCCCCUUAACUUCGCUAUUCCUCUCAUAGCAUUAUAUUUAACCAGUCUUUGUAGGCAUUUGAAGUGAACAUGCAUGUUUUUUUUGUAAAUUUCUAUAUAUGCUACAUCUUUCAUUAUUUCUUUUAUUUUUGAAAUUUUAUAAAAUAAAAGCAGCUUAUUUUUCCUCUUAUUUGAUUUUAUACACUAUAAAUAUAUAUAACUAAAAUGUUUUUCCCUCUUUCAAUAUUUUAAUUAUAUCAUAAUUAUUUAUUAAAUACAUAUUAAAAUUGUAAUAUAUAUAAAUAUGAUUGUAAUUAUCUUUAUUUUAAUUAAAAAUAAUUUUAUAAAAGUCAAAACUCUUGAAUAAACUCAAAUAAAAAAUGAUUGUCCUAAGUCAAGUUAUGAUUAUGGUCCCUCUACUAUGUAUAAAUUUAGAAUUUAGCAUCUAUACUAUAAUUUGAUAUAAUUUGGUUCAACUUUUAGUUAUUCCAAAUAGUUGAUUACUUCGAUUAAACCGUUUAGGACAUAGUUUCUCCUAAAAAUACGCACUCCAAACUUAUCAUACCAAUGUAUAAAUAUUUGUGUUAAAAAGGUGUAUUCAUCAUAUCAAAAUAUAUUUUCUGCGUGUGUGUUAGAAAGGUGUACUUAUCAUACCGUAAUAAUUUUUUUUAAAAAUGUGUUAAAAAGGUGUUUUUGGGAAAAUAUCACAGCAUUUUAAUCGGAAUAGUUAAGGACGCUAAUUAUUUAGACCGACUAAUGUCAUUAAAUAGAAUCAUCAUAAAUCUCUAUGAAUUCAUGUUUUUUAAAUAAUUUUUUAUUUUUAUAGAUUUGGAUGAAUUAUUAAAUAUAGUUGAUAGAUAUGACUACUAUACCAUGGUCAAUUUGACCCACAGUACAAGGCAUACAUUAAAACAUAUGUUAUACACCAUAAAUGGAAAUAUUAGAAAGUAGUAGGGACCUUAAGGAUAAAUUUCAAACUGUGAUACCAUGUUUUAAGUAUUUUUUUAAAAUAAUAUUUUUUUCUAACUGAUGUGCCACACCAAUUCAGUCUACCUUAAUAUAGAUUAAAUUGAAGUUUGUAUCUACAUAUUGAUGACAACCAUGUGGGUUAAAAUUUAUGUUAUAAACUUUUAAAUCACGUCAUGUGGUUGAAAUGAACCAUUUUUAAGAAUGGUUCAUUAACUUUAAAAAUGAGAAUAAUAAGAACCAAAAUGAUUAUAGUUAUUAGAUUAAAAUAAAUGGCUUUAAGUAUUAAAUUUUAUAUUUUAUCUUAUAUUAUUAAAAUAAAUUCAACGAUAUCUAAUCUUUCACUUCUUUAUUUUUUUUUCACCAUGCAAUUAAAGUCUUAGGGUAAAAUUUUUUUGGAUAAUUUGUACUUUCAUAUUUUUUUUAGUAAAAAAAUUAGAAUGGAAAGUAAGAGAUUAAAAUUAUUAAAAUUAAUCAAUUUAGGUGUAACACCCCUUACCCGAGACCGUCUCCGGAAUCGAGUACGAGAUGUCAUCCAAUUUAACUUACCGAUUCGGAGCAUAAAAAUUUGCUUUUAAAAUUAAAUUCACUGUUCAUAACAAAACUGUCCACCUGCGCAACUGUCACUAAUUUAAUUAUAACUUGAGUUACGAAACUCAAAAUUUAAAUCCGUAAAUUUUCCAUGAAACUAGACUCAUAUUCCUACUUACCGUAAAAUUUUCAGAAUUUUUGACUUAUCACAUUAGUACAGUUUAUUCAUUAAAGUAUCCCCUGUUUCACAGCUCGACAGAUCUGACCUCUUGGCGCUAAAAAUCAAAUAUCUAAUUGUACAGAAUUCAUAUAAGGUUACCAUUAAUUUAUUUUGAAAAUAGACUCACUAAGGAAUCUAAACAUAUAAAUUAUGACCUAUAAUUAUUUCUGUAAAAUUUAUAAUGAUUUUCUAAAGUUAGAACAGGGGACUUCAAAAACCAUUCUGACCCUGUCUCACUAAAAUUUAAAUAUCUCAAAAUAUAAAAUUCCUUUGCCUACACCGUUUCUUUCAUGUAAAAAUAGACUUGAUAAGCUUUAAUUCUAUAUAUCAUACACCCUCUAAUUCUAUUUGUACUAUUUAUGGUGAUUUUUCACAUUCACGUCACUGCUGCUGUCAAAGAAACUGCUUCUUUGAAUUAGUUACCAUUUAAACAUACAUAACUCCAAAACAUAUUCUUUAAUAACUACUUCAAUAGCUAACAUUAGCCAUAUCAUUUGGACAUGCUCAAAAUGAUUAAGACUCUAUACAUGCCAUAGUUUAAACAUUUUGAAAAGCACAUAAUACCGAGAUGGUUAUGAUAGUGUGAUACGAGCUCCGACGGUCCACUAUUCGAUCAAGUUCAAAUCACUAUAAAACAAAGGAAAGAAAGAGAUGUGUAAGCUAUAAAUAGCUUAGUAAGUUACAUGUAAACAAUAAUUACUCAAUUAAUAAUUAACACUUUUAACAUAUAACUAAUCAAAACAUUUCUUAGCAAUUUCAAUCACUUACACAUACACAAUCUUACCAAUUCACUUGCAUAUACAUUUUCACACUUAACAUUUCAUAUUCACUUUAAUUCAUUAUUAAUCCCGUUGAACACUUGGAAUAUACACGGAUACGUAGAGAUUUAGCACAUAAGUGCCACACUGAUAUGUAGCCGAAGCUACCACUGAUAUGUAGCCGAAGCUACCACUGGAUGUAGCCAAAGCUACCACUGAAAUGUAGCCGAAGCUACCACUGAUCAAUAACACUGGAAAUGUCCACGGGUCUGCUCACACAAGCUGUCAGGUGUCUGCAACACAUGCUAGAUCACCCAUCACCCGGAACUCACCGUAACACUGUAACACUGUAACACUGGUCUAGUGACAUGUCACUUGUAUCCAAUUCCAUUCCUAAGUUCAACCGGGAAUUUACACUUAACACUUUAUUUUCAACACUUUAUCACUUGAAUAAUUCAUGAACAACUUUCCUUCCACAUUCAAUAUUAAUUCACAUAUCAAAUAUAAUUCACAAUUUAUACAAAUAUAACUAUUAUUUACAUAUAACUUACCUCGGAUGCAAAACGACUAUUUUUGUAAUUUAGUCGAUAACUUUCUCUUUUCCCCGAUCACUUGCACUAUUUCUUCUUUCUUGAUCUAUAUUAACACAAUUUAAUACAUUUUAUCAAUAUUCCAUUCAAAUACAAUUCAUACACAACAUUUUGACACAUUUACAUUUUUCCCCAUAACUUUUCAAAAAUUCCACUUUUGUCCCUAAGCUCGUAAAAAUAAAAUUCUCUAAAUUCUUAAAUUUCAAACUUCACUAAAUCAUAUUUCAUGCUCAUAACGGGCCUCAAUUUCACAAAAUCACAACUUUAUGCACACUUUACCAUCUUUCACAAUUUAGCCCUUUUUCAACAUUUUUCAUUGAAAUUCAUCUAGUAAAACUUGUAAUUAACACUUCAAACAUUCAUUAUCUAACAUCACUAAUCAAUUUACAAUUAUAUCAUGAAUGGGUCAAUUUUUAAACUUUAAUUUCAUUUAAAUUAAAUGGUAGAAACAUGAAAUUCAAGCUUCAAUAAGCAUAAAAAUACGAAAAUAAUUAAAAACAGGGCAAGAAAUCACUUACAAUUGAGCUUAGGAAAAUCAAAACCCUUAACUAUGGUAACUUGAAACUUUCGGCAGCAAGCUUCUGAGUUUUUUGAAGAAGAUGGACACUUAUUUUCUCUUUAUUUUGUCUUUUACCCAAUUUGGACAAAAAUGCCCUUGACCCAUUACUUAGAUAUUUUUCUAGAAAUACCCUUUUGUGUCCAUAACACUAAUUUAUGGUCUAAUUGCCACAUAAACACUUCCAAUUUCAUGCAAUAAUUCAAUUAAGUCAUUUAAUCACUAAUUAGACACACUUUUCAUUUUUCUCAAUUUAGUCCUAAAAAUUCAAUUAAGCACUAAAGCAUUAAAAUUUCCUAUCCAUAUUUUCACACAAUAUUUCAAUCAAUUAGUAACUAAUAAAAAUUUAUAAAAUUAAACUAUUUCACUUCGGAUUUGUGGUUACGAAACCACUAUUCCGAUUAGGCCCUAUUUCGGGCUAUCACAAUUCUCCCCCCCUUAGGGAUUUUCGUCCCCGAAAAUCUUACCAGUGAAUAAGUUGGGAUACUGUUUCCUCAUAGCCUCCUCGGUUUCCCAUGUUGCCUCUUCCACCCCAUGUCGUUGCCAUAACACUUUCACUAAAGCAAUUUCUUUGUUUCUCAACUGUUUCACUUCUCGUGCCAAGAUUCGAAUCGGUUCUUCUUCGUAUGUCAUAUCCGAUCGAAUUUCCACUUCAGUCGGUGAAAUCACAUGUGAUGGGUCCGAUCGAUAUCGCCUCAACAUAGAAACAUGAAACACAUUAUAAAUUCUUUCCAAUUCCGGUGGUAAAGACAAUCGAUAAGCCACUGGACCAAUUCUUUCUAUCACUUCAUACGGACCAAUAAAUCUUGGACUUAAUUUGCCUUUACGGCCAAAUCUCAAAAUUUUCUUCCAUGGAGACACUUUCAAAAAUACUUUAUCUCCCACUUGAAACUCAAUCUCUUUUCUUUUCAAGUCCGCAUACGACUUCUGUCGAUCCGAUGCAACUUUCAAACAAUCACGGAUUAUCUUCACUUUUUCUUCGGUUUCUUUUACCAAAUCGACUCCAUGUAACUAAUUUUCAUUAAGUUCAGUCCAAUAUAAUGGAGUCCGACACUUUCGUCCAUACAACGCUUCAUAAGGUGCCAUUUUUAUGCUUGACUGAUAACUAUUAUUAUAAGCAAAUUCCACCAAAGGUAAAUAUCUUUCCCAAUUACCUUCAAAUUCCAAUACACAACAUAUCAACAUGUCUUCGAGUAUUUGAAUUACUCUUUCAGACUGUCCAUCGGUUUGGGGAUGGAAUGCUGUACUAAAAUUUAAUUUAGUACCCAAUGCCUCUUGUAAUUUCUUCCAAAACCUUGAAGUAAAUCGUGGAUCUCUAUCAGAUAUAAUAGACAUAGGUACACCAUGUAAUCGGACUAUCUCAGCAAUAUACAAUUCAGCUAACUUGUCAAGUGAAAAACUCAUUCGCACAGGAAUGAAAUGAGCCGACUUAGUCAAUCGAUCAACUAUAACCCAAAUUGAGUCUUUCUUUUUCGGUGACAAUGGCAAUCCAGAAACAAAAUCCAUAGUAAUUCUAUCCCAUUUCCACUCGGGCACCAUAAUAGGUUGAAGUAAUCCUGAAGGUACUUGGUGUUCAGCUUUUACUUGUUGGCACACUAAACACUUUGUCACAUACUCGGAGAUAUCCCGUUUCAUACCCGACCACCAAUAAAAUUUCUUCAAAUCAUUGUACAUUUUUACACUACUGGGGUGAACUGCCAAAUGACUAUCAUGUGCUUCUUGCAAAAUUUUCUGAAUUAAAUCAACAUUUUUCGGAACACAUAUUCUAUCACGAAACAUUAAACAUCCAUCUGAAUCAAUCUGAAAAUCAGAAUUAUUGUCCACUGCACACUGAGUCUUUCUUCUUUGCAAUUCAUUAUCCACUUUCUGAGCCUCACAAAUUUCUUGAAAAAACAAUGGUCUAGCUUUUAACUCUGCAAACAAUGAUCCAUCUUCAGUCAAUGUUAAUCUCGUAUUCAAAGCUCUCAAAGCAAAGAGAGACUUUCUGCUCAAAGCAUCAGCAACUAUAUUAGCUUUUCCCGGAUGAUAAUCUAUCACAAGUUCAUAAUCUUUCAACAAUUCCAACCAUCUUCUUUGCCGCAAAUUCAGAUCUUUUUGUGUCAUAACAUAUUUCAAACUUUUAUGAUCUGUAAAAACACGACAUUUCUCACCAUAUAAAUAAUGACGCCAAAUCUUCAAAGCAAAGACAAUAGCAGCCAACUCUAAAUCAUGGGUAGGAUAAUUUCGUUCAUGCGGUUUCAAUUGUCGAGAAGCAUACGCUAUCACCUUUCCUUCUUGCAUCAAUACACAUCCAAGCCCAUUUAGUGACGCGUCACUAUAAACAACAAAUUCCUUUCCUGACUCAGGUUGCACUAACACAGGUGCCUCAGUUAAACACUUCUUUAAUUUCUCAAAACUUUGUUGACACUCCUCGGUCCAUUCGAACUUAACAUCUUUUUGCAACAAUUUUGUCAUCGGUGAAGCUAUCAUCGAAAAACCUUCUACAAAUCGACGAUAAUAUCCGGCUAAGCCCAGAAAACUCCUAACUUCAGAUACAUUUCUUGGAGGCUUCCACUCAACUAUUGCCGAUAUCUUAUUCGGAUCCACUCGAAUGCCAUCUCCCGAGACAAUAUGCCCCAAAAAUCCAACUUCACUAAGCCAAAAUUCACUUUUGCUAAAUUUAGCAAACAAUUUAUUUUCUCGCAGCGUUUGUAGCACAAUUCUUAAAUGUUCAGCAUGCUCGGCUUCACUUCGGGAAUAAAUAAGAAUAUCAUCUAUAAACACCACAACAAAUUUAUCCAAAUAGGGCCGGAAAAUUCGAUUCAUCAAAUCCAUAAAAAUAGCUGGAGCAUUAGUCAGACCAAAAGGCAUUACAAGAAAUUCAUAGUGGCCAUAUCGGGUUCUGAAAGCAGUCUUUGGCACAUCUGACUCUUUAACCCUCAAUUGAUAAUAUCCGGAUCUCAAAUCAAUUUUGGAAAACACUGUGGCAUCCUUUAACUGAUCAAACAAGUCAUCUAUUCGGGGUAAUGGAUACUUAUUCUUCACUGUCACUUUGUUAAGUUGACGAUAAUCAAUACACAAUCUCAAUGUCCCAUCAUUUUUCUUCACAAAUAGCACGGGAGCACCCCACGGAGAGUAACUUGGUCUAACAAAUCCUUUAUCUGUCAGCUCUUGUAAUUGCACUUUUAAUUCUUUUAAUUCAGUUGGUGCCAUUCUGUAGGGAGCAAUCGAUAUUGGAGCAGUACCUGGCAUUACUUCAAUACCAAACUCUACUUCUCUAAUCGGAGGCAAACCUGGCAACUCUUCUGGGAACACAUCUACAUAUUCACAUACCACUGGCACUGAUUCGAUCUUUAUUUCAGACACUUUUGUGUUCAACACAUAAGCAAGAUAUGCUUCACAACCAUUUUUCAAACAUUUCUGAGCAGACAUGGCAGAAAUCACAAUUGGCAUCACAUUUGACUUAUCUGUUUCAACCCGAAGAACUGUACCACUACCACACUUCAACUCAAGAAUUUUCUGACUGCAAUCUAUCUUGGCCUUAUGUAAUGUCAACCAAUCCAUUCCCAAAAUAACAUCAAAUUCAUCAAAUGGCAACAACAUUAAGUUGGCAGGGAAACACUGACCUUGUAUAAUCAAAGGACAAUUUUUGCAUAUUUUAUCAACUAUCAUAUGCUUGCCUAAAGGAUUCGACACUUUAACCACAUACUCAGUCAAUUCAACACACAAAUUCUUAUCAGACACUAAAUUCAUGCAUACAUACGAGUGAGUAGAACCAGGAUCAAUCAAUGCAAGAACAUUAGUGUCGUAAAGAGAAAAUAUACCAGUGAUCACAUCAGGAGAAGAUGCUUCCUCUCUAGCUCGGAUGGCAUAAGCUCUUGCUGGAGCUCCCACUUCAGAUCUUACAGUCGUGUCUUUUGUUACGCCUUUACCACUAGUUCUAAUCCCCACAUUUCUCUGUGGUCUUCCUCUAGUAGUCACACUGCUCGAUCUCACAUUCUGAAACUUUUCUAUCUCUUCUCUUUCCGGACAAUCUUUCACAAAAUGAUCUUGAGAUCCACAUUUAAAACAAGCUCGGCUGAUUAAAUAACAUUCCCCCAAAUGUCGUUUUCCACAAUGUUGACAUUCCGGUCUAGUAGGUUUAACACUACCUGUACUUGCCAUAGAAGUUGCCUGAGCUUUAGAACCUGAAUAUUGUCUUCCUCGAUCUCUUUGAAAAUUCACACUAGAAACAUUCGAUCGAGUAUUCAUUUCUUUAAACUUCUUCGCUUGAGACUGAAAUGGCUUGCCCAUUGAUCUUUUUCUUUCAUCUCUUGCUUCACUUUCCACCUUUCUUUUCUCUUUGCUCAAUUCUUCAGCCUUGAUAGCUCUUUCAACUAGUACCACUAACUCUUUAAUUUCAAGAAUUCCCACUAGCAAUCGGAUAUCCUCGUUUAAUCCAUCUUCAAACCUUUUACACAAUGUAGCUUCAUUAGAUACACACUCUUGGGCAUACUUGCUUAAUUUGACAAAUUCUCGCUCAUAUUCGGCUACCGUCAUGCGCCCUUGUUUCAAUUCAAGAAACUCUUUUCUCUUUUGAUCAAUGAAACGCUGACUCACAUACUUCUUCCGGAAUUCUUCUUGAAAGAAGUCCCAUGUAACUUUCUCUUUAGGCACCACUGACACUAAAGUUUUCCACCAAUUAUAAGCCGAAUCCCUCAGUAAUGAGAUAGCACAUUUGAGACUUUCUCCUGGAGUACAAGAUAAUUCAUCCAACACUCUGAUAGUAUUAUCAAGCCAGAACUCUGCUCUUUCAGGAUCAUCAUUUACAUUAGCUCGGAACUCUUCGGCUCCAUACUUUCGAAUUUUGUCCACUGGAGGCUUUGACAAUUUUAACACUUCAGUUUGUUGAGGAGCUAUGGGAACAGCUUGAGGAAUAGGAGGGGGCGGAGGAGGUUGAGCAUUAGGAUUAGUUCUAACAAACUCAGUGUACCAAUUGUUCAUCAUUUGGAGAAAAGCUUCUCGAGCCUCAUCUCCUUGACCCUGAGUCUCGAAUCGACUUUCAACAGGCACAUUACUUUGAGCAUCAUCAGCUGUAUCUCGGUUAGAAUCCAUUACUAUAAAAAAAACAUUUUAAGAUGUUAGGAGUCGUCACACUAUCAUUAUUCAAUUAUGGCAUGUAUAGAUAGUCUAUUACACUCGCUACGUUAGUCCGAGAAUCGACUAAACCGUAGCUCUGAUACCACUAAAUGUAACACCCCUUACCCGAGACCGUCUCCGGAAUCGAGUACGAGAUGUCAUCCAAUUUAACUUACCGAUUCGGAGCAUAAAAAUUUGCUUUUAAAAUUAAAUUCACUGUUCAUAACAAAACUGUCCACCUGCGCAACUGUCACUAAUUUAAUUAUAACUUGAGUUACGAAACUCAAAAUUUAAAUCCGUAAAUUUUCCGUGAAACUAGACUCAUAUUCAUACUUACCGUAAAAUUUUCAGAAUUUUUGACUUAUCACAUUAGUACAGUUUAUUCAUUAAAGUAUCCCCUGUUUCACAGCUCGACAGAUCUGACCUCUUGGUGCUAAAAAUCAAAUAUCUAAUUGUACAGAAUUCAUAUAAGGUUACCAUUAAUUUAUUUUGAAAAUAGACUCACUAAGGAAUCUAAACAUAUAAAUUAUGACCUAUAAUUAUUUCUGUAAAAUUUAUAAUGAUUUUCUAAAGUUAGAACAGGGGACUUCAAAAACCAUUCUGACCCUGUCUCACUAAAAUUUAAAUAUCUCAAAAUAUAAAAUUCCUUUGCCUACACCGUUUCUUUCAUGUAAAAAUAGACUUGAUAAGAUUUAAUUCUAUAUAUCAUACACCCUCUAAUUCCAUUUCUACUAUUUAUGGUGAUUUUUCACAUUCACGUCACUGCUGCUGUCAAAGAAACUGCUUCUUUGAAUUAGUUACCAUUUAAACAUACAUAACUCCAAAACAUAUUCUUUAAUAACUACUUCAAUAGCUAACAUUAGCCAUAUCAUUUGGACAUGCUCAAAAUGAUUAAGACUCUAUACAUGCCAUAGUUUAAACAUUUUGAAAAGCACAUAAUACCGAGAUGGUUAUGAUAGUGUGAUACGAGCUCCGACGGUCCACUAUUCGAUCAAGUUCAAAUCACUAUAAAACAAAGGAAAGAAAGAGAUGUGUAAGCUAUAAAUAGCUUAGUAAGUUACAUGUAAACAAUAAUUACUCAAUUAAUAAUUAACACUUUUAACAUAUAACUAAUCAAAACAUUUCUUAGCAAUUUCAAUCACUUACACAUACACAAUCUUACCAAUUCACUUGCAUAUACAUUUUCACACUUAACAUUUCAUAUUCACUUUAAUUCAUUAUUAAUCCCGUUGAACACUUGGAAUAUACACGGAUACGUAGAGAUUUAGCACAUAAGUGCCACACUGAUAUGUAGCCGAAGCUACCACUGAUAUGUAGCCGAAGCUACCACUGGAUGUAGCCAAAGCUACCACUGAAAUGUAGCCGAAGCUACCACUGAUCAAUAACACUGGAAAUGUCCACGGGUCUGCUCACACAAGCUGUCAGGUGUCUGCAACACAUGCUAGAUCACCCAGCACCCGGAACUCACCGUAACACUGUAACACUGUAACACUGGUCUAGUGACAUGUCACUUGUAUCCAAUUCCAUUCCUAAGUUCAACCGGGAAUUUACACUUAACACUUUAUUUUCAACACUUUAUCACUUGAAUAAUUCAUGAACAACUUUCCUUCCACAUUCAAUAUUAAUUCACAUAUCAAAUAUAAUUCACAAUUUAUACAAAUAUAACUAUUAUUUACAUAUAACUUACCUCGGAUGCAAAACGACUAUUUUUGUAAUUUAGUCGAUAACUUUCUCUUUUCCCCGAUCACUUGCACUAUUUCUUCUUUCUUGAUCUAUAUUAACACAAUUUAAUACAUUUUAUCAAUAUUCCAUUCAAAUACAAUUCAUACACAACAUUUUGACACAUUUACAUUUUUCCCCAUAACUUUUCAAAAAUUCCACUUUUGUCCCUAAGCUCGUAAAAAUAAAAUUCUCUAAAUUCUUAAAUUUCAAACUUCACUAAAUCAUAUUUCAUGCUCAUAACGGGCCUCAAUUUCACAAAAUCACAACUUUAUGCACACUUUACCAUCUUUCACAAUUUAGCCCUUUUUCAACAUUUUUCAUUGAAAUUCAUCUAGUAAAACUUGUAAUUAACACUUCAAACAUUCAUUAUCUAACAUCACUAAUCAAUUUACAAUUAUAUCAUGAAUGGGUCAAUUUUUAAACUUUAAUUUCAUUUAAAUUAAAUGGUAGAAACAUGAAAUUCAAGCUUCAAUAAGCAUAAAAAUACGAAAAUAAUUAAAAACGGGGCAAGAAAUCACUUACAAUUGAGCUUAGGAAAAUCAAAACCCUUAACUAUGGUAACCUGAAACUUUCGGCAGCAAGCUUCUGAUUUUUUUGAAGAAGAUGGACACUUAUUUUCUCUUUAUUUUGUCUUUUACCCAAUUUAGACAAAAAUACCCUUGACCCAUUACUUAGAUAUUUUUCUAGAAAUACCCUUUUGUGUCCAUAACACUAAUUUAUGGUCUAAUUGCCACAUAAACACUUCCAAUUUCAUGCAAUAAUUCAAUUAAGUCAUUUAAUCACUAAUUAGACACACUUUGCAUUUUUCUCAAUUUAGUCCUAAAAAUUCAAUUAAGCACUAAAGCAUUAAAAUUUCCUAUCCAUAUUUUCACACAAUAUUUCAAUCAAUUAGUAACUAAUAAAAAUUUAUAAAAUUAAACUAUUUCACUUCGGAUUUGUGGUUACGAAACCACUAUUCCGAUUAGGCCCUAUUUCGGGCUAUCACAUUAGGUAUUAGGUAUUUAUUAUUGUUCUUAAUUAAAAAAAAAUUGGAGGACCAAUUUUUUAUUUUUUUGACAAAAAAUAAAAUAAAAAAGGCAAACUACAUUAUGCAACCCAUUUUGCCCAAGUUGGGAUACUUCAAAAACUUGUAAACCUUGACUAUCCAAAUGAGUCAAUUUGAUCAGUCUAUUAGCUUCCUAAUUCUCUUCUCUAGGGAUGUGACAAAUACUCCAAUGCUGAAACCGGGAAAACCGCUGGAGAGUUCUCCUAAUCAAAGAAGAGUUAGAUCCUUUAUUGAGACCCUCUUGCAUGGCAGAUACCACUUCUAGACUAUCCGUCUGGACCUACACAUCAACAUAACCUCAAUUGCUCAAUAUGUCUAAGCCAUCUAAGAUGCCUCACAAUUCUGCCUCGCACACAGAGCAGCUUCUCGAGAAUCUAUUAAAACCAAAGACUCAAUUUCCAGCUUGGCCUCGCACAAUCCCUCCUACUGACGCAGAGCCAUCCUCAAGCUUUACGGACCCCUCAGUAUUUGAUUAGGCCCGGCUUCCAUGCAAGUUAGUGUACAUGUUUGAACUUGAGUUGUUAUUGUUGGGCCCCUAGCUAACAUCAUAAACUGUUUGGCCCAACUAUAAGAGAUUUUAAUAACAUCAAUACUACUCCAAGACGUCCCUUGAAAUAGAAAAAGAUUGUGAUUUUUCCAUAUUUGCCAUAUGAAUAUCCCAAAGAAGCAUUUCCAGGUCAAACCAAAUUUUUCAAUAAAAAAAACCUAAUACCCAAAUUGAUUAAUCUUAAUAACUCUGAUCUUACUUUUCAUUCCAAUUUUUUUUGAAAAAAAAAUCAGAAACCCUAAUACUUUAAUUACAUUGUGAAAAGAAAAAAAUGUGUGUUAUUUUUAUUUUAAUAAAAUAAAAUAAAUCUAAAUUCUAAAAUUUAGAACUAUUUAUUUUAAUCUAAUGAUUAAAAUCAUUUUAAUUCUAAUUGAUUAAGUGAUUAAAAAUUUUAAUAAAGAAAUUAAAAGAAUCUGUAUGAAUUAACUUAUUUGCUCAAUCUUAAUUUUAAUUAUUUGCAAGUGUACUACGUUAUGCACAUUUGUCCUAUUCAUUGUCUAGCUAAAUAAAUAAUGGAAAGAUGGAUUGAAGUCCAGUUUGGUAUAAAUUAAAACAUGAGGUGAAACAUAAUAGACUUUGGAUUGUUUGCUUGGCCGACAAUACUUUUAUACUUCAACUACAAACCUUACCAUUUAUAUAGCUUAACCAAUCAGAUAAUUAAUUUUCAAGACGAUUUGAAUAAUUUAAUAUAAAUAAAUUAAUACAAAUUCAAAAAUAAAAAAUAAAAAAUAAACAAUAAAAAAUCAUAAAAUUAUAAAAAUUAGUUAAGGGAUUUUUAGUCUAGGUCCAAAUGAUGUGACCAACCAAUUUAUAAUAGGGUUAGAUAACAUAUGUUAUAAGGUAGUAUAGUUUUGAGUCGCAUAUGAAUUUUCUCUCUCAAAAUAGACUCUCUUUUUUUCUUUUUAUAACCACGUGUUCUUAUUUGUUUUAUAAUUUGAGCCUAAUCAUGUUUAGACCGGGAACGAUAUUCAAGUAAAGUCUUUUCAACAAUAAUGACUUUGAUUCGAACUCUAUGCAAAUAUCCGAGGAAGAAACUUAGUGUCACUUCUUCCAAUCAUUUUGAUAGAACUUUUAAAAUUUAAAAAUUUCAAAUAAAUAGAAUGAUUUAACUGAAAUAAUUUAUUUUAGAAAAAUUUAGUAUUAAGGUGAGAAUGAGAUAAUAUGGUUUCAACCCGUAUGUUUAAUAAUAAUUUUAAAAAAAAAAUCUACUUAUUAAUAAAAAAUAUUUCGUGGUUGAAGUUAAAUUAAGUGGAGAUUAGGUGAUAAAGUUAUGAGUCCAUGAGAUCACCAUUCUCUUAAUGUCCAUUUUGAUCCCUCCAACAGUUGAAUCAAUACUUAUUUCCACUAAAUCAGUAAAUCCUAUGAAAAAAAAGUGAACGAUUCUUGCGGUGGGCGGGGUUCCAAAAAUUAUUUCCUUGCGUUGAGUUCCAUGGCAAUCAUGGUAUACUACUACGUAGAAAUCAAUUGCAAAUGCAUCUAAUAUCAUAUUCAUAUAUAUAUGCAAGCAGUUUUGUCACAUUUCAUUUGUUGCAAGCUGCCUAGCUCUUUGAGAUCCUUAAAAAAAUAGCGAUGGGAGUUUUUGUCUGCAUAACUUCUAAUAGAAAAACAAUGGCCGGCCACGACAACUCCCUUGUAUUUCAUCUUGCCUUGUCCAUUCCGUUGUCGUCAACUUAUACCAUGAUUCUCCAAUAUUCCAUAAAAUCCGCAGCUGAGGUUCCUUGAUAUCCCUAUCUUUAACAGCCAUGGCGAACUUGAGCCUCCUCCUCUUACACUUUCUUAUCUCAUCUCUCUCGGUCUCAGGCUCAGCAGCCACUGAUCAGAGAAAUAUUAUGUCUUGUCUUAACUAUUAUAAUAUCAGCAACUAUACCAUCUCCUCUAACGUACAUAAUCAUGACUACUCUAUUCUUCUCAACUUUUCCAUUCAAAAUCUUCGUUUUGCUGAACCCACAAUUCCUAAGCCAAUAGCUAUUAUCUUACCGGAGAAUAAAGAGCAACUUAUCAACACUGUCGUGUGUUGUACAAUAGGGCCAUGGGAGAUUAGAGUAAGGUGUGGUGGCCAUAGCUAUGAGGGUACUUCAUCGGUAGCUAGUGAUGGGGCUCCAUUUGUGAUUAUAGACAUGAUGAAUCUAAACCGUGUUUCCGUGGAUUUGGGAAAUGAAACAGCAUGGGUGGAAGGUGGUGCAACACUUGGUGAGACAUACCAUGCUAUUGCCGAGUCAAGUGACAUUCAUGGAUUCGCAGCAGGAUCAUGUCCUACGGUAGGGACUGGUGGUCAUAUUGGUGGUGGUGGCUUUGGGUUUUUGUCUAGGAAAUAUGGGCUAGCAGCUGAUAAUGUGAUUGAUGCUCUUCUCCUUAAUGCAGAGGGUGAAUUAUUAGACAGGCAAGCCAUGGGAGAAGAUGUAUUUUGGGCAAUUAGAGGUGGUGGUGGUGGCAUAUGGGGAAUCGUUUACGCUUGGAAAAUUAAGUUAUUGAAAGUACCAAAAACCGUAACCAGCUUCAUUGUGUCUAGACCGGGCACCAUAGCACAUGUAGCCAAUUUAGUAAACAAAUGGCAACAUGUUGCUCCAAAUUUAGAAGGUGAUAUGUAUUUGUCAUGCGCUGUUGGUGCUGGCCUGCCUCAGGCUAAGUCUAUUGGCAUAUCAGCAACAUUUAACGGCUUCUUCCUCGGUCGAAAAAGAGAAGCUGUUUUGAUCCUAGGUCAGGUUUUUGCCGAAUUGGAUGUCUCCGAGGAAGCUUGCAAGGAAAUGAGUUGGAUUGAAUCAGUGUUAUUCUUCUCUGGUCUAGGUGAUGGAGCCAUAGUCUCAGACCUCAAGAACAGGUACCUGCAUGACAAGCAUUACUUCAAGGCCAAAUCAGACUACGUAAGGAAUCCAAUUUCUCUUACGGGCAUAAGAACUGCCAUCGACAUUCUUGAAAAGCAGCCCAAAGGAUAUAUAAUCAUGGACCCUUAUGGUGGCAUAAUGAACAACAUAAGCAACGACUCAAUUGCUUUUCCUCAUAGAUAUGGGAAUUUGUAUACAAUACAAUACCUGGUCGAGUGGCAUCAAGAAGAAAAAAACAGAAGCAAUGAAUAUAGAGAAUGGAUAAGAGAUUUUUAUGAUGCAAUGGCUAGCCAUGUUUCAUGGGGUCCAAGGGCAGCUUAUGUAAAUUACAUGGACUUUGACCUUGGGGUGAUGGAAUUAAUUAACACUAGUGUCCUAUCUGAAGAUACCGUUGAGAUGGCUAGAGUUUGGGGUGAAAAAUACUUCUUGAACAACUAUGAUAGGUUGGUGAAAGCCAAGACACUGAUUGAUCCAAACAAUGUUUUCAAAAACCAACAGGGUAUUCCUCCCUCCACCACUACUGGUCUCAAGGCACGUACUUUCUAGCCUUGGAAAGGUUAUACUUGUCACAUAUACUUGUUUGUUAGUUGAAAACACAAAUUCUACCUAGGGUGUACUAAAUAUGUAAUUGUCAAAUAUAAGAUUUACUGUAAGUCCAUGUAACAUAUUAAAAAAAUCAUUCCCUAUAUUUUAGUUUCUGUAUGUAAAUUACUCAUUUGCCACGUGUAGUACGUUAUGCACAUUUGUCCUAUUCAUUGUCUUGCCAAACAAAUCAUGGAAAGAUGGAUUGGAGUUCAGUCUAUCGUACAAAUUAAAACAUGAGAUGAAACACGACAGACUUUGGAUUGUUUGCUUGGCCGGCAGUACUUUUAUACUUCAACUACAAACCUUACCAUUUAUGUAGUUUAACCAAUCAUAUAAUUUAUUUUCAAGACGAUUUGAAUAAUUUAACAUAAAUAAAUUAAAAAAAUAUAAAAUUAUAAAAUUCAGUUAAGGGAUUUUUAGUUUAGAUCCAACUGAUGUGACCAACCAAUUUAUAAUAGGUUCAAAUAAAAUUGUUAUAAGGUAGUACGGUUUAGAGUCUCAUAUGAAUUUUCUCUCUCAAAAUAGAGUUUUUUUUUAAUUUUUUUUAUAACCAAGUGUUUUUAUUUGUUUUACAAUUUGAGCUUAAUCAUGUUUGGAUUGGGAGUGAUAUUCAAAUAAAGUUUUUCCAACAAUAAUGACUUUGAUUUAAAGUCAAUACAAUUACUUGAGGAAGGAACUCAAGUCACUUCUUCCAAUCAUUUGUUAUUUCAAAAUAGAACUUUUAAAAUUAUAAAAUUUCAAAUAAAAUAUAAUGAUUUAACUGAAAUAAUUUGUUUUAGAAAAAUUUAGUAUUAAGGCAUGAAUGGGAUAAUAUGAUUUGAACAUGUAUAUUUAAUAAUAAUUUUAAAAAAACCUACUUAUUAAUAAAAAAUAUUUUGUGGUUGAAGUUAAAUUAAGUGGAGAUUAGGUGAUAAAGUUAUGAGUCCAUGAGAUCACCAUUCCUCUUAAUGUCCAAAUUGAUAUCUCCAACAGUUGAAUCAAUACUUAUUUCAACUAAAUCCUAUGAAAAAACUGUACGAUUCUUGCGGUGGGCGGGGUUACAGAAAUUAUUUCCUUGCGUUGAGUUCCAUGGCAACCAUGGUAUUCUACUACAUGGGAAUCAAUUGAAAAUGCAUCUAAUAUCAUAUUCAUAUUAUAUGCAAGCAGUUUUGUCACAUUUCAUUUGUUGCAAGCUGCCUUGCUCUUCGAGAUCAUCCUUAAAAAAAUAGCGAUGGGAGUUUUUGUCUGCAUAACUUCUAAUAGAAAAACAAUGGCCGGCCACGACAACUCCCUUGUAUUCCAUCUUGCCUUGUGCAUCCCGUUGUCGUCAACGUAUACCAUGAUUCUCCAAUAUUCAAUAAAAUCCGUAGCCGAGGUUCCUUGAUAUCCAUAUCUUUAACAGCCAUGGUGAACUUGAGCCUCCUUCUCUUUCUUAUCUCAUCUCCCUCGGUCUCGGGCUCAGCAUCCCCUGAUCAGAGAAAUAUUAUGUCUUGUCUUAACUCUUAUAAUAUCAGCAACUAUACCAUCUCCUCUAACGUACAUAAUCAUGACUACUCUAUUCUUCUCAACUUUUCCAUUCAAAAUCUUCGUUUUGCUGAACCCACAAUUCCUAAGCCAAUAGCUAUUAUCUUACCGGAGAAUAAGGAGCAACUUAUCAACACUGUCGUGUGUUGUACAAAAGGGCCAUGGGAGAUUAGAGUAAGGUGUGGUGGCCAUAGCUAUGAGGGUACUUCAUCGGUAGCUAGUGAUGGGGCUCUAUUUGUGAUUAUAGACAUGAUGAAUCUAAACUGUGUUCCGUGGAUUUGGGAAAUGAAACAGAUGGGUGGAAGGUGGUGCAACACUUGGUGAGACAUACCAUGCCAUUGCCGAUUCAAGUGGCAUUCAUGGAUUCUCAGCAGGAUCAUGUCCUACGGUAGGGACUGGUGGUCAUAUUGGUGGUGGUAGCUUUGGGUUUUUGUCUAGGAAAUAUGGGCUAGCAGCUGAUAAUGUGAUUGAUGCUCUUCUCCUUAAUGCAAAGGGUGAAUUAUUAGACAGGCAAGCCAUGGGAGAAGAUGUAUUUUGGGCAAUUAGAGGUGGUGGUGGUGGCAUAUGGGGAAUCGUUUACGCUUGGAAAAUUAAGUUAUUGAGAGUACCAAAGACCGUAACCAGCUUCAUUGUGUCUAGACCGAGCACCAAAGCACAUGUAGCUAAUUUAGUAAACAAAUGGCAACAUGUUGCUCCAAAUUUAGAAGGUGAUAUGUAUUUGUCAUGCGCUGUUGGUGCUGGCCUGCCUCAGGCUAAGUCUAUUGGCAUAUCAGCAACAUUUAACGGCUUCUUCCUCGGUCGAAAAAGAGGAGCUGUUUUGAUCCUAGGUCGGGUUUUUGCCGAAUUGGGUGUCGCCGAGGAAGCUUGCAAGGAAAUGAGUUGGAUUGAAUCAGUGUUAUUCUUCUCUGGUCUAGGUGAUGGAGCCAUAGUCUCAGACCUCAAGAACAGGUACCUGCAUGACAAGCAUUACUUCAAGGCCAAAUCAGACUACGUAAGGAAUCCAAUUUCUCUUACGGGCAUAAGAACUGCCAUCGACAUUCUUGAAAAGCAGCCCAAAGGAUAUAUAAUCAUGGACCCUUAUGGUGGCAUAAUGAACAACAUAAGCAACGACUCAAUUGCUUUUCCUCAUAGAUAUGGGAAUUUGAAUACAAUACAAUACCUGGUCGAGUGGCAUCAAGAAGAAAAAAACAGAAGCAAUGAAUAUAGAGAAUGGAUAAGAGAUUUUUAUGAUGCAAUGGCUAGCCAUGUUUCAUGGGGUCCAAGGGCAGCUUAUGUAAAUUACAUGGACUUUGGCCUUGGGGUGAUGGAAUUAAUUAACACUAGUGUCCUAUCUGAAGAUACCGUUGAGAUGGCUAGAGUUUGGGGUGAAAAAUGCUUCUUGAACAACUAUGAUAGGUUGGUGAAAGCCAAGACACUGAUUGAUCCAAACAAUGUUUUCAAAAACCAACAGGGUAUUCCUCCCUCCACCACUACUGGUCUCAAGGCACGUACUUUCUAGCCUUGGAAAGGUUAUACUUGUCACAUAUACUUGUUUGUUAGUUGAAAACAUAAAAUUCUACCUAGGGUGUACUAAAUAUGUAAUUGUCACAUAUAAGAUUUGCUGCAAGUCCAUGUAACAUAUUAAAAAAAUCAUUCCCUAUAUUUUAGUUUCUUUAAAUUUUCGUUCCCUGACAUUAACAUUCUUGUUAAUAGAAUAACAUGGCUUAAUCUUGAUUGACGGGCAUUAAAUUAAUUUAAAAAAUUUACUGGUCUUGAAAACAAAUAAAAUAAUGUGAAUUAAUGAUGAUUCGCGUGUACUACAAAUAGUUUAAACACAACAAUUAUAUACAAGAAAAAUAAAUAAAUUUGGAACAUUUUAGGGGUAAAAACAAAAUCAACUUUUUACCUCUACUCAUUUUUUAAAAUUGUUGUUUAGCUUUUUAGUAUUUGAUCAAUGAAAUGUAAAUCACUAAUAAGUCUUGUCAUUGCACAAUGUCUUGUUUCGUGAGAUCUCAGACAGAAUCGUACCCAAGAAAACCUGCAUACCUGAGGAAAAAAAAAUAAAAAGACAGAAUUAAAAGUUGAUUAAAAUUGCAAAAUUAAAUAAAUUGCGAAAAUUAAAAUAGAGAAUAUAAAAAUAAACAGUUUGGGAAAAGAGAGAGUUUCUCAUGUGGCGAGAUUCUAGCCUCCGGUUGUCUCGAUCCUCCUUGGGUUCAAUCCUAAGCUUUUAGGUGAUCAUUCUCGAAUUAAAUAAGCCUGUUAUAGUAGAAGAGGACGCCUACGACCACCAACUCCACUUAGGGUGUAAACUUAUAAUUUAGAGGAACCUGACUUUAGCUAACCGUCGCUCUUGUGGGACCGUCUUACACUAGAUCAUCACUUCCCAAUGACGAAUUCCAUGCCAUUUUGUCUCUUGGGCUUGACAACCACUGACGCGGUAAGCUAACGAACCAACUGUGCAACCUUCCCAAAAUAUACAAAGUAGCCGUUCCUUGCACAAGUUGAAAAGAUCACUUUUGAAGGGACAUGGACGGAAGCGUCAGUCCCGUAAUGCGGAGAAGUGAUGAAUACUCGUUGAGAAGGUUAAGAGAGGAUUCUAAGCCUUAUGAACUUUUUUUGAGGAUUUUUGAUAACCUUUGCCUAGAUGGAUUUAGUGGCUCAUGUUGGGGAAAGAAAUAGACUAAAUAAAAACAAUGAAAUUUUAUUGAAUAAAGAAAAGAACAAGGCUAAGAUUUCUUUUUGGGAGGAAUUUUUUACAGAAAAGAUGAUAUGAAAUUUGAGUUACUCCAUCCCCUAUUUAUAAUAUUAGGAAACUUAGUCUAGUCCUACUUAAAUUCUAAAAGAUAAAUACAGAUAAUUAAAAUAAAUAGAGAUAAAAGCUAAAAUAAAAUCUAAAUAAUAAUAUCUAACAAUUAUCCUAAUAUAAUUAAAAAUUAAAUAGAGUCUUGUGUUUAUAAAAUAUCUCUUAUUUACAUUUUUUCCCUUAUGUCUUCCAUGCUUGCAUUUUCGGCACCACCUUUUUUCCUAUGUUGCAUGUUGGCCCACUUUAUCUCCAAAUUCAUGCUUUCCACCCUUAAAUUUACUUUUUCCUUCAAUUUAGUCCUUAAAAGAUAAAAGACCAUAAAUAGCCCAAAUUAGUAGGAUCAUACUCAAAAUAAAUAUACAAUUAACACAUAAAAAUAUGUCGUUCUAGAAUAUUAUCACAUAUAUGGAUUAAAGUGUCAAAUUUUCAGGCAUACAUAAUCUAAAAUAUUUUUUUAGAUAGUAGAAGGAUUAAAAUUAACUUAUGACAUGGUAUAGGGACUUGUACGUUAUCUACCAUUUUUUUAAAAUUGUUUUUAGCUUUUCCUGGACGGAAAUGUAGAAUCUUAUUAUACUGACCAGAAUAGAGCGAGAACAGGUUUGUGGUGACAGAUUUGAUUUGAACAAUAGAAGAGUCUUUUAGAAUUCUGUAACUUUAUUUAAGAAAUUUCGGGGACAAAAUUUUCUAAGGGAGAGAGAGUUAUAACAACUUGUUUUUUUAGUGGUGUUAGAAAUUGUGAUUUCGGGACCACAAAUCUGAUGAGUAAGUUCAUAAAAUUAGUAUUUAAAUUAUACGAGUCAAUAAUACUUUUUAUAUUAAAUUUUGAUUUGAUGACUUUUAAUUAAUUGAAUUAACGAUUAGAAUAAGUGGUUCAGUCCAAAAGUCAAGUGGUUUUUGAAAAUGAGGUAUUAGGACCCAUUACCAUAAUUUAAGGUCGUAAAUAUUUUUAUUAAAUUUUUAUAGAGUCGUAUUAUAGGUGAAUUGAGGUUUGGUCUGGUAAUUUUGAUGAUUGGUUGCUUAAUUAAGGUAAAAGGAUUAAAUUGUAAAAAAGGUAAAAGUUAAUCACUAUAGAUUUAAAUUAGUAAAGAGACAAAAAUGGUAAUUAUACCACGUCCAAAAAGUCCAAGUGGUGGUGGAUAUGAUUAAUCCAAUUGCUUUUGGGAUAUUUGGUCAUUUAGUCCUAAUUAAUUUAGGGUUAAAUUGAAAUUAAGCUUGUUUAGUUGAAAAUUUAAAAUAAUUGAAGGAUCAAUUGUGCAAUUAAACCCCUUAGACGAUAAUUAUACCAUAUUCUCAUUUGAUGGACAAAUAUGGACAUGUUUUAUUUAUUUAUAUUAAGUUAUAAUGUAGAGGUUAAAAUUGUAAAUUAAGUAAAUAAAAGGUUAAAUUAAAAGAAUGCUAAAUUAAGUUAUCAUCGUCCUUUCUUUUCUUUUGGAAACUGAAUGGCCAUUGUUAUGGGAGAAGAAAGCUUCGGUCAAGCCAAGGUUGGGGUAUGUAAGUGAUCAUUGAUCUUGUUUUUAGUAUUUUUUUUAUGUUUUUGAGCUUGUAUUAACUUUGACCUAGCUAACCUAGAGACUAAUUUGUAAAACUAUUAAAAAUUAUAGAUUAUGCCAUUGAUGAGUUUGAGUUGUUCUUGAAGUUUUAUGGUAGAUUAUUAAGCUUGGUUGUUAAAUAUGACUAUUUUGUAAAGUAAGUUUUAUUAAUUUUAAUGUUUAAGGACUAAAGUGUUAAAGUGAUAAAAUUAAAAGGACUUGAUGUAAAAUAAAAACAAAUAUGGGUUGUAGUGAGUGCUAUACAAUUUGAGUAAACUUAGUUUUAGUUAAAAUUGGUUAAAUUACGAGUUUUGAGCUUAGGGACUAAAUUGCAUAAAAGUAAAAUGUUGGGGAAAUUUUGUAAAAAGUUUUAAAAGGAUUUAAUUGCAUAAAAUAAGUUAAUUUUACUAUUGGAAUUAGUUAAUUGAAUGAAAUUAUUAUUCUAGAUCAAGAAUGGGUUGAAAAUAGAGGCAUAUAGAAGUUGCUGAAUAGAAGUUGUUGAAUAGUCCUUGAACCUUUGUCAUUGCUAUAGUAUAGUCUGGUAAGUUCGUUCAUUCAAUUUUAAUACAUAUUAAAUGUAUAUUAUAUGAACUUAAUUUUAGAAUGAUGGAUAAUACCGAUGUAUGUAUUUGGGAAUGAAAAUAAUGAAUUGAUAUGGUAUCGAUCACUAAUUAGAAUAUUCUGAGUCGAUGAACGUAUGAUAGAGUACGAUUAACAUGCCAAUAAGUUGUUUUGAGCCCGGUAUGGGAUUGGUAUGAGAUGUGAUGGUGAUUUCUGUAUAUCCUCUAUUCACUUAAUAUACCGAGGUCCUGCAUAUGUUAUGGACUAUUGUGUUAUAUUACAGUGUUUUUCUGGUGUGUUACGGGGGCGGAUGUUAGCCUACGGGCUAAGCACUCAGUGUCGAGGUGUGUUAUCAGUUGGAUUGGCUAGUAUAAGUGUCUGGUGUGUUUUGGAUGGUUAACUAUGAACUCGUAUCCAUAUAACGUUCAUCGGACAAUGUUUUAUUGAUCGUUGAAUGUUAUUGAAAUAUGAGAAAUUGAUUUGUACUAUUGUUUGAGCAUUACUCACUUGUUGUGAGUUGUGAUUGAUAGGAACUCUGUUAGUAACCUUGUUAUUUGAAUUAUUAUUUUAAUUUGGCAUGCUUUGUCGUUUAAUUGACGAACUUACUGAAUUUUAUGUAAGCUUACUUGUGUCAUUGUAUUUUUCUUUAUAGAUUACAUUUUUGUGGAAAUCGAGAGAUCGGAUUAACUGGAAGAAUCACACCAUCCGAGAAGCUUUUGGUAGACCUUGAGUAUAACCUUGGCUUAUAUGGCAAGUAAUAGGCUAAUGGUGGAUAUUUUGUGAUAGUCUUAAGCACAUAUGUGGUAGCUUGAUGUACUUGUAAUAUUGUUGUGUCAAGUAACUAUUUGAGGCAUGUAUGCUUAAUUCUAGUGAAGGCAUGAGUGGUUGAUGCUAAUUAAGCAUGAAUUGGUAAGUUUUUUUAUUUGAUGUGGUAUGCAUGGGUGGCUUGAAAUGUAACAGCUCAUUUUUCAGUAAAAUUGGAAUAGUGGUUUCGGGACCACAAAUUCGAUCUAAAAAUAAGGCUUAUUUUUAUUUCAUUAUAUAGUCCAUAUUAUAAUAGGCAUGAAGUGUGAAAAUUUUAAUACGAAAGUUUUAUCGAUUAAGUGUUUAAUUACGAGAAGGACUAAAUUGCUUAAAAUGCGAAAGUUGAAUUCUAGUAGCUAUAAGGAUUAAAUAGCCACAUGAUUCAAAUCUAGAGGUCCUUAUAUGGUAAUUAGACCAUUAAAGAAAAGUAUGUAGAUUCUUGGUGACUCAUCCAUGGAAAUAUAGAAAAAGGGCAAUGACUAAAUUGAAAAUUGCAAAAUGCUUAAUUAAUUAAAAGAUGAAAAGAAAAUAUCAUCUCAUUUUCUCAUCAUUUUCAACCUAAAAACACAUGGAAACCCUAGGAGAGAGAGAAAA
Molecule: long non-coding RNA, 59891 nt
Filed under: Gossypium barbadense (sea-island cotton)
Lineage: Eukaryota; Viridiplantae; Streptophyta; Magnoliopsida; Malvales; Malvaceae
Description: long non-coding RNA (GBAR_LNC005958)
Source: RNAcentral